This 79061-nucleotide long non-coding RNA is filed under the name Brachypodium distachyon (stiff brome). RNAcentral describes it as "long non-coding RNA (BDIS_LNC003878)". The stretch from base 32759 to 32873 matches the Rfam family "MIR5070 microRNA precursor family". Lineage: Eukaryota; Viridiplantae; Streptophyta; Magnoliopsida; Poales; Poaceae. The record is from RNAcentral.
UCCGGACAGAUCCCCCAAAGUUGCCCCAAAUUUGGGGGAGUGGGGUGUCCGUUUGUCCUCUAUCCAGGCCUAGCCCACGAACCUUUUUUCUUUCCACAAUCUCCUCCUCCUCCCGAUUCUCUUCGUUCCCCACAUCGUCGUGCUCCUGUGCUCUUUCCCCACCCGAGCUCCCCCAUGGACGACAGGAAAGCGGAGGCCGAAUCCCGCCGUCCCUCCCAUCACUUCCUCGCGCCCGGCCACCGACCCGGCCCCUUCGCCCCCUUCGGCUCCACGCGCCCUCGCCGCCAUGGGAGGUGAUUCCUUGAUCUACCAGGCCUUGCUCUACCAGCCGCAAGGCUAGGUGUCGGAUCCACCAAGAACACCGGCAGCUACCACUGCUCCCCCUCUUCCCUUCCUCCCUCUCCCUGGCACCGCCCCUUCUCUUCCCUGCCUCCCUCUCGGCCGAGCAACGGCGGGGUGGUGCGGACCAACCGGCGGAGGCGGUGGAGCGACUCCCACACGACAACGAGGAGGCGAGCCAGAAGUGGCGUCGCUGGAGUGCGCGGAGCUUUCAGUGGGUCUGCCGGCGCGUUCGAUGGCAGUCGGUCAGCGGCACCAUCAUCAACAACGGCUUCUCCUACUUCCACCACCGAUACACACGCGCCAUCUUUGCCCCCUACUAUUGGAUACGAUGCUGCAUCGAUUCUACCAGCCACCUGUGAGUGCACCUUUGUAGUUGAAUUACCAGCAAUGUACGUGUGUUCUGUGUUCUUGUGCGCUUGGAUUGGAAGAUGGCAGUGGUGUCUUGGACAAUUGUAUUUGUUCUGCAAUUGUAUCCGAAGAUCUGCUAUGCAAUUGUAUCCGAAAAUCAUAUGUAUUUGUUCUGCAAUUAUAUAGUAUGUUUCUGUUGAAUGCAAAAUAAAAUAAGUUGGGCAUGUAGUUGUCCGUUUUGGGGGACGUUGUUGGGUGACGGGGGCGGACGCCGGGUGGACACAUGUCCACUUGCCCCCGCCUAAACGGACAAAAAAAAAAGGACAUUUAGGGACAAAAUUUGGGGGGCCAUUGGAGAUGCUCUUAGUCUUCUGGUAGUCCACUUCCUCCUUCCAAUCCUCCAUUAUCCUCGCCCAAUCCUCCUCUCAGUCGCAGCCACAUCUGACAAGUCGCCCGCCGGAGCAGCUUCCGCAACCUAGGAACAAUGCUCGCCUGCCCUAGCCGCCUCCCCUGACUCUGCCUCUCCAGAUUGACGCGCAAGCGACGAGCUCACCGACGACGUCCUAGUCAGCGAGAUCGGCCCGUACAGUCUCGCGGUCUCCCUCGAAUCCUCGAUCUCCCUCGACGGCUCGAUCCCCCUCGAUGGCCCCUCCUCCGCAGGUUCGAUCUCCCUCGAUAGCCAGAACAGGCUGAAUUGGGUGCUCCAAUUCUUGGCUUCGGUUCGGUACAACUUGUACCAAUGGGCUUCCGGCCCAGCAGCCAAUGGGAGCAGCACCGAACUUUUUUCGCUCCACCAACCACGCUGGAAUCGGGAUUGGGAAGCUGGAUCGGUGGAUUUCGUGAAGUGGGAGGACUUCCGAACACUCCCUAAGUAACCACACACGGCGUCCCGCCUCAAGUAAGGAGCCACGCCGAUGGAGGAGAUGAAGCGGACUGCCGAAGAGGAGAAAGGGGGGAGAGGAAAAAAAGUUGGAAUAGGUGGGGGUGAGGGCGACACGGCAGUUUGUCGGACACAAAAGAGACCUCAUAAAAAAACACACAUUCAUGGAUGAAAUUUGAUACUGUACUAACCCCAUUCCCUUCCAUAUAUAUGUUCCAAAGGAAAUUCGGAAUUUAUUUAUACGGGCAGUAAAGCGAGGUCCAGCGACUCCCGCGCGUCCCGGUGUUCAGCUCUGUUGGUCUAUGGACGCCCCCACAAGGCCACAACAACCGCAAACAACAAAUCGCAGGGAGGGAAGGGAGGGAGUCCUUCUUUUCCUUUUUGUUGCUCUCUCUCCUGAUGGGAACGGAGCAGCCGCGUCCGCGAGGCGCUGGCCAUAGAUUUCCUCGCAGCCAUCACACCGCGACAUGCUACUGCCACCCAUCCAUCCACCACCAUGCCAUCCGACUCCGACUCCGGGCCAUGCCCCCUGUAGUACCCACCCGUAGCCCGGUCAACAUAAGUCGCCGCCCCACCCCAGCGCCCCCGCCCCAAAUCCCAAUCUUCCCCUGCAAUCCCUAGCCGCCUCCCGCCGCUCCGACGAGAUGCAGGCCGCCGCCCCACGCCUCCGUCACCGAUGGGUCAAGGAGUGGUUCGUCUCCCAACACCCACCACGCCCUUCCUCUCUCUCUCUCUCCCUCGAAAAAAUCUAGUCCGCUUCUCUCUCUCUCUAUUGGGAGCUUUCUUUAGCUUCCGGUUCAUGUGAUUUGGAUCUGAAUUUGUUUGCGCUGCUCGCUCGCCUAGGAUUCCGCAAGACCUGGUCAUCGCCGGCGGCCCGUGCGCGCUUUACAAGUGGGUGCGAGGUACGCUAAUCCUACCUACGUGACCUUCUUCUUGCUGCUGUCAAAAAAAAAAAAAGAUUCAACCUUUCUUGCUGUGACGUACUGUUGCUUAGCGUCAUCGUGCCUGCGGUUGCGACUCGCAAUGACCUUCGGCUGUGGUUGUGGUUUCCGUUGCUUAAAUUGCAUUACAUCAGAGGUUUAUCAGAGGCUUUGGUUUUGGUUCUGCUAGCCUAAUUGCGCCUCACUUUAGGCCACCUGUUUACUUGGUUGUGAAUAGUUACCCUGAUAUGCGAUACGGGUGCAGCUCUGGAUAAUGUAUGUGUAUUUAAAAGCAAAAACAAAAACAAAAACAAAAACAAAUUGAGAGCAGCGGCAACAGGAGUGGAAGAGAGAGGAUAGACCUGAGGUAGGAUUGUAUCAUUAUCCAUUUGUAUUGGUUCUGAGGUAUACAGAUACCCAUUUGUAUUGAACAUUUACUGAGAAUCAAAUUUGAGUAGUCCUGGGCUCAGAGACUAUAGACCUGAGGAUAGACCUGAGGUAGGAUUGUAUAGAUACCCAUUUGUAUUGGUUCUGAGGUGUACAGAUACCCAUUUGUAUUGAACUUUUACUGAGAAUCAAAUUUGAGUAGUCAUGGGCUCAGUGAAGUAUCAUAAUUUUAUUCAUUUAUUUUGGAUUUCUAAAUCCACCAAUACUUCCCGAUAAAGUGAUACGAAAUCAUGGUAUAUCACCGUAUCAAUGUUGUAUCUACAGCCAGUACGGAACCUCGGAGUAGUAUCAGGAUAAACCUAGGUUGCGGCUUCCUGAAUAGUGAUUAUGGGUCGGUGAGAUAGUAUGUGAUAUGUUUUCACCAUUUAGAUUGUAAUUAUGUGUCUCUGUUUGUUCUACCAGUUGCAUGAAGUAUUUAUCUGCCCUCUUACUGAUGUAGUCUACUGCAAAAAUUCUUGACGCGGAACAGUACACAUUGACAGGAAGCUUGUGAAGUUUCUGACUUUCUGUAGUCUGUUCAGACUUCAGAACCAAUAAACUGACUAGUUGAGCAAUGAGUUCACUCGAAACAAGUAGCAGAAGUUGAUAUUCAAUAUGGAGGUCGCCAUUAGCAUGUCAAAUCAUUUCGGUUCAAAUUUAAGUGUUUGGUGUGGGCAAUUUGCAUUAUCCCACUCCUGUUCUUUGUUUACAACUUAUUUAUGAACGAUUUAGAAAUCUCGUGCAAUCUUCAAUGAGGACAAAAUAAUGGAUUUUCAUUCUGGCAUGAUGUUUGCUUUUGAUUUAGCCUUCUCAUUCUGAUAAUGUUUUUACAUUAUUCCUCUACAGAGGAUAGGUUGUCUGCUCUGAAAGCCAAGGACAAGGAACAAGGGGCAGACACUGCAAAGCCUGAACCGACCACUGAGGUGCUUUUCCUAUGCAGCUAUGACGGCUGCGGGAAAACUUUUGUUGACGCGGGGGCUCUUAGGAAACAUGCGCACGUCCAUGGGGAGAGGCAGUAUAUCUGUCAUUAUGAUGGAUGUGGCAAGGUAUUGUGUCAUAUUUAUCAGUCUUGCAUCCAUAUGGCCGUGACAUUGUUGGCUUGUUGCCACUGAGUUGCUUAUCUAAAGUUUGUUGCUAAAUCUGUUUUUGCAGAAAUUUUUAGAUAGCUCAAAAUUGAAGAGGCAUUUUCUUAUUCAUACAGGAGAGAAGAACUUUUUCUGCACUUAUGAAGGUUGCGGCAAGGUAAUUACCAUGUUUUCUUGGUUGUAUCCGUUAUGCUUUUCUUUACUGAAAUUUCGUUAAUCAUGCAUGGAUAUUUUUUAUUGAAAAGCUCGAUGCUCGGUUUCUGUUUGAGUUCAACUCUUCUUGUCUUGGAGCUAUGGCCAUUUCAUUAUCUUUCUGUUGGCUGUUUGGGUUGUUAUCCAGUAAGUGCAUUUUCCCACACACCAUAUGAAAUUUUCACAUGCACACUAGAGAGAAAAAUUUCACAUCCUCGCAGUAUUUUCUGCAAUUGAAGAUAUUCUCUGAGUCAAGAGAAUGUCCAGUGGCUGUGUUGUAGAUAGGGAUGCAAACAAGAUCACGCAUAUAUCCUGUUUCUAUUCCAACCUUCAAAUCUUCAAGUCAAAAUUUGAGCAUUUUUUUUUAACUAGUAAGUCAAUUAAUCAGGAUAAGUGAGAUCCUGCUUGCAUCCGUAGUUGAAGAUAUCCAACCCCUGAAGGCAGGCCUUAGAUCUUCCGUUUAAAUUCAUGCAAUAGAUCCCUGUGUCAAUUUAUUCUCCUUUUACAGUUGUACUGCCUGAACUGGAUGCCCGAUGUAUGGUUUUGUUUACUGGAAAUGGAAGCGGGGAGCCAUGCUAUCUGAUCAUCUAAAAAAAUAGGACGGGAAUUUUCAGUGCAUCUCUGUGCAACCUAACCUAAAUAGUGUUUCAGAACCCAAAUAAUACCAGCAGCUGUCUGCAUUCACUCUCGUACUUUUCGAGAUUUCUGUUAAGCUUAGUAGGUUGCGCUGGAUAUGACACUGGCGUUCUCUUUUUAGCAGUGGAUUUUGGGAACUUAUGUAAUGUGCUUUCGGUCCUGGUUAUUUCAGGCUUUCUCGUUGGAUUUUAAUUUAAAGGCACACAUGAAAACACAUUUUGCGGAUAACUACCAUCCAUGCCCGUACCCAGAAUGCGGUCGAAGAUUUACACAGGAAUCUAAACUGAGGGCUCAUUUCAGGACACAGCAUGAGAAGGUACGAUGUAUGGAUAUUUAUAAAUUUGCCACUUACCACAGAACCUCUACUUACAAAACUAAUAAAGGCUGGUGCGCAGAACCCAGGUAUGCCUGCUGCAAUGAACCGCAAUGCACUAGGAGAUCACCCCCAUAACACAGUGAAACCUCCUCCGGUAACGCCUCCAGUUCCUUCGGCUGAGCGCCCAUAUGUCUGCCCCUACGACGGUUGUGCCAAGGCAUACAUUCAUGAGUACAAACUAAACCUCCAUUUGAAGAAGGAGCAUCCCAACCACUUCUCGGACGCUGGUGCUCAAGCUGGUCCUUCGAGGAGCACCGCGUCGAAGAGUUCCCGCAGAAGCAGACCGAGCGCCACGGCCAAGAUGCCAUUGCCAAAGAUCCCCAAGCGCGGUGCUGAAUAUACAACACCAUCACCAGCUAUCAACAUCGCUGAGGAGCACCAAUGGCCAAGGAAAGUGCUGUAUGACGAUGACAGCGAGGAGACGGAGGAAGAGGGGGAUAAACCGGCAGAUAUGGGAUGGGGGCGCAUAGCUGCCAGCAGCGAUGAUGAUGAUGAUGAGGAGACAGAGGAUGAAGAAUGACCACAAAUUGAAAUUUUGAAUCUUGGUAGUUGUGCACAUAAUUCGUAAGCUUUGGUUAUAGUUUAUUCAUACGUGUACAAUAUAUCUGAAUAAGGUUGGCUAGGAGGUAGGCAAGGAAAAUGGAGAGUUGGCAUAUGCAGGUUCUGAAGGUGGCUUCCCGAUGCCAGGUUAUUAACUUUGGGAAGGAUACUAUGCACUGUUUGGUUAUAGAUCAUUAUUUGCAUCCUUAAUAUGCAUUGCGCUUGAGUGUUAAGAAGCGCACGCGUGGAUUGAAAUCUGUCAGUGGUUGGGUCGGUUCUUUUGUGUUGCAGAAUAACCAUUCGUCUAAUCAUGUUUCUUUGGAAAAAGAUGGCGACGUUCAAGUUGGCAAAGCGCGUCUUUGUGCCCUUUGCCUUGGUAAGCUGUAUGCAUAUCCUGUGUCAUUAACAUUGCAACGGCAAUGUGGCAAUGUGGUUCUAUGUCAAGCCGUCUCUUUGUCCCUUGUCGGAGACGAGAGGUAAUCUUGGCGCAAGCAGCCAAGCGUGGCGUGGGCAUGGGGAGCAUAUGGAGCCAAUAUUCAAACGACGAUGUGCAUUUCCUUAUGUUUUCGAGAAUAACGCAAUCAGCCAUCGGUUCUUUGAUCUGAUCAGAUCACAUGAGAUGGCACAUUGCAUUGGUUCUUACACCCGAAAAGACAGAGAGCGUCCAUCUCCCAUUCGCUUAUUUUGACUUGCAGUGCUUAUAAAUUCCUUCGAUUCGUGGUAAAGGCCUAUGUUGACCAAUUGUUCUCUUUCUUAGCGUCAGCUCCGAUCCCGAGACUUCGUGGACCACAAAAAGAUUCUAAAAUUGCACUUUCCGUGCAUGCGUGUGGCCCGCUCCUAAUGUGGAAUCUACAAUGGCCUUGCUCCACUGCCUCCACAUACAAUUGUACUUGAAAAAAAAAUGUUUAGUGAGUUUUUGUUGCACAUAUUAGUGAGAAAUAAAUAUUUUGGGCCAUGAAAAAUAUUUACAUUCUUUCUUUUUUACGGCCAGCUAAAAUAUUUACAUUGGUUCAUGUUUUUUUUUACAUUUGGACGCCUUUGAGUUUCUGAUCGCUAUUCCCUCUGAUCCUAAAUUCUUGACUCAAUUUUGUUCAAAUAUGGAUGUAUCUAUUCUUAAAAAACGUCUACAUACAUGUAAUAUUUCGACAACAAUUUAGGAUCGGAGGGAGUAUUUUUCUAAGAAAAGCAAGAACACUCUUAGAGCUACCAUGCGGCAAACAUGGUAAGCUAUUUUCAAAUUUUCAAAAAUAAAAAAGAACAUGCUUUAAGCCAAAAAAAUAGCACCAUAAAAAAUGAAAAUGAAAAUCUCAGAGUCUUCCUGGCGGCAGUCUGUACUAUGCACUGUACAAUGUUAAUGCUUCCUCAAAACCUCCCCCAGUCUCCUGCCAUGCAAGCAAGCGAAGCAACCCACCUCGCACACCUCCAGAGCAACGAGAAGAAGAAACAACCCAUUCCUCUCUCUCGCCGUCGCCAAUGGCCUUCGUCGGCGGCGGCGCUGCAGCAGCGGCCGCUCUCGCCGUUGCCUUCCUGCUCCCCCUCCUCGCCGCCGCCUCCGACUCCGACCACAAGGUAACGCACCAGCUUGCUUCCCCCUCCAGUACCGCGCGCUCUGCUGGAACGUGCGCAUGCGCGUCUCUGCCAAGCCCGUGGAGCGGUGGCACCCAACUCCGAGCAGUUGGUUUCGUUCGCGGUAUGGGGUUCCGCCGGUUGCUAGAUCUGUUGCUCGCUCGGCGGCAGAUCUGCGUGGCGCGGCCUCCAGCAGACGGGAUCUCUGGAUAGUCCUCGUGCUGGAUCGGGGUGGUCAUUUGGUUUUGGUUGCUAGAUCUUACUCCACUUUGUUGGCUAUGGACUAUUGGAAUCGCGAUUUCGUAGGUGGGGAGCAAGACGAGCAACAGCAAUGUGGGGGGGUUGCAUUGCUAACGUUCUAAAAUUUCGAUGUCCUUGCUGUUAUAUUCUGUCCAUAUGGUUUGGGCAAACGAUCCUUUGUUGCAUUGCUGAACUGUUGCUUCUUCUAUAAAGUGCCUAUAGUCUGCACGGUUUAGCUUGCAGCUGCAAUUCUGUAUUUCAUGUUCGAUAAUGUCUGGACUCUGUACCUAUGGUAGUGUAUGUUAGGCCUUGGAAAGAGCUUUUGCCCAGAGCAAUUAUUGUUUCAAGCUGUGUGACCUUGUCAAUUGCCUCGUGCUCUUUUUUUUUGUGCAGUACCAAGAGGAAGAUCCGGUUACGCUCUGGGUGAACAAGGUUGGUCCCUAUAACAACCCGCAGGAGACGUACAACUACUACAGCCUUCCAUUUUGCCACAAGUCAGAUAACCCUGUGCACAAAUGGGGAGGGCUUGGUGAGGUCCUCGGAGGGAAUGAACUGAUUGAUAGCCAGAUUGACAUAAAAUUCAGAAGUAAGCGAAUUAUCCCUUGUUGAUUGUUGUUUCGUCUCGCUUCAGUCUUGAAUGUUGAAAUGGGAAGGUUUAAAUGUGUUGUUAAAUUGGAUCGUGGUUUAUAUCAGAGAAUGUUGAUAAGGAUACCAUAUGUUCGAUGGAACUUGAUCCUGACAAGGCCAAGCAAUUAUCAGAUGCAAUUGAGAAUUCAUACUGGUUUGAAUUCUUCAUCGGUAAGCUGCCUAGUUCCUUUUAUUGCGUUAACAUGCCUACUUGCCUUCUAAUUUACAAUAGAAUUUCGGUGAACUCUGCCUUACUGAAUUAAUUGUUACUCUUUUCUGAAUAUGCUGCUCGGCAUUUUUUGCUACAAUCAAGAUGAUUUGCCUCUCUGGGGUAUGUAUAUCCUCUUCAUUUCGUAUAGCUGAUUAUCCCUCUACAUCACCUUCAAUAGGCUUAUCCUUUUUUGAAUUGGCCUAUUCAGGUUUUGUUGGAGAAGCAGAUAAAAACAAUGAUAACAAAUAUUUUCUUUUCACUCACAAGAACAUUCUCAUCAGAUACAAUGGCAAUCAGGUUUGUGUUUCAUGAGCUUUUAUCAUUUCCCUUUUACAGAACCUUCAAAUUUCGAUUAUCAUUUAUAAUCGCUGCUACUUUCAUGCAGAUUAUCCAUGUUAAUCUUACUCAAGAAAGUCCAAAGCUUAUUGAUGCGGGUAAGGCAUUGGAUAUGACAUAUUCUGUCAAGUGGGAACCAACAAAUGUAAUGUUUGCUCAUCGCUUUGAUGUAUACCUUGACUAUCCUUUCUUUGAACACCAGGUAAUAACAAGAAUUGACUCUGCUAUUAAAGCAAAUUUCUUCACUUUGUUUCAUAUGAAUGUUGUUAUUUCCCCCUGAUCUAAUCCUUUGCCAGCUUCAACUAUUGUUCCUAUUUAUCUUGUCAACGCACAUGCCAUGUUCCUGUAGAGUUUUCUGAUCAUUUCCUCUGACCACGAAUAUUGUUCUUGACUGCAGAUACAUUGGUUUUCAAUCUUCAAUUCUUUUAUGAUGGUUAUCUUUCUCAGUGGGCUAGUGUCGAUGAUAUUGAUGCGCACUCUAAGAAAUGAUUAUGCAAAGUAUGCCCGUGAUGAUGAUGAUCUGGAAACUCUGGUGAUUGAUUAUCUGUACAAAUAAAAGACAAAUUCUGUUAUGCAAGCUAUGAUUUCCUGACUCUAGUUUUGCACCCAUAAACUAUUUUCAUAACAGGAAAGAGAUGUCAAUGAAGAAUCUGGGUGGAAGCUUGUUCAUGGGGAUGUUUUCCGGCCUCCUCGCAGUUUAGCUCUUCUUUCAGCUCUCGUCGGUAUUGGUACACAGUUGUCCGCUCUUAUUCUGCUAGUGAUUCUGUUGGCAAUCAUCGGAAUGUUGUACAUUGGGUAUGCACGUACUUUGUUCUGUUGCUAUAGUUGAUGUCUUUCUCUUUACAAGCAGCUUCUAGUAAAUGCGCCAGUUUAAUGAAGCCACCUGCCUUGGCCCCAAAGUUUUCUCCUGCUUGUAACUUGUUUUGCCAAGCCAAAUAACGAGAGUACUUCAGUUUUAAACACUAAAUCUUUUAUGCACAAAUACUACUGCAUCAAGCAUAAAAUUGUUGCUGUUCUGCAUGCUGAGGAACUUAUGCAUGUCACUCUGGGUUGUACCAAGCUUUAGCAAAAGAUAUUGACAUCUAGUAUUUCAAAUUAAUACACUAUGAAAAUACAUUUCAUGAUAGAUCUAAUGGUCUUGAUUUGACACUAGAUAUUGAUGGCUUUUUCUGUAGCAAGUUUGACAGUCAACAAAAUUAUAUGCCUUAUAUUUUGGAUCGGAGGGAGUAGUAUACAUGGAGUUGGUUGAAACACACCGCCUUCCAAACAUUUCCAAAUUGUAUCUAUUAUAAUAUUUAUCAACUGGAAAUCAAUUCCGAAAUAUAUUUCUUGAACUUGUUCUAACUACAGCCUCUCUAUGUAGAUUUUUGUUCCAAGUUACUGAAGAAACAUUGUCAAAUCAAUGUUAUGUCGAACUUUAGAUAAGCAGAUAAGUUAGCUGUGCGUAGAACCAGACUUGUUUGAUGGACAGUCUAGUUGCUCGAACAGUUUCUUAAGUUGAAUUUUAACAACAUAGUUCACAUUUUUUUAUUAAAACCUACAGCCUCCUCAGGAAUAAAAGCUGAAGACUUAUUCUUAUAAUUUAUUUGCACUGGGUGCUCCUUUGAAACCCUGGUGCUGUAGCACUAAGUUUACUUUCACUUUGUAUAUCUUGACUAUCUGUCUAUAUUUCAUAAGCAUUGUGUUACUUUUCUGUAUAAGCAUUCUAAAUCUUCUUUGUAAUGCUAUGCAAAACUGUCUCUCACACCUUGUUUUCUUUCCUGCCAGGCGAGGAGCUAUCGUCACAACAUUCAUUGUUUGUUAUGCACUUACUUCAUUCAUUUCUGGAUAUGUUAGUGGUGCCCUAUACUCACGACAUGGGGGUAUGAACUCCAGUUACCUAGAAUCUUAAACGAUACCACACCUAUGAUUCUGAAAGUGCUUAUAUCUGAUCAAGUCAUUUCUUUAAUGAGCAGGGAAGAACUGGAUCAAGUCAAUGAUCAUGACAGCAUCACUGUUCCCAUUUAUGUGCUUUGGAAUUGGCCUAGCGCUCAACACUGUUGCUAUAUUCUACCGAUCAUUAGCUGCUAUACCAUUUGGCACAAUGGUGGUUAUGUUCAUCCUUUGGGCCUUCAUCUCUUUCCCUCUUGCUCUUUUGGGAACUGUUGUUGGUAGAAACUGGAGUGGUGCCCCAAAUAAUCCAUGCAGAGUGAAGACUAUUCCGCGUCCUAUCCCUGAGAAGAAAUGGUACCUCACGCCUUCUGUAAUUGCCCUUAUGGGAGGAUUGCUUCCUUUCGGCAGUAUCUUCAUCGAGAUGUACUUCGUCUUCACAUCGUUUUGGAAUUACAAGGUAAAAAGGACAAUGCUGUUUCUUCAUUGCCUCUAUUUUGUUCAUAUACUUAUUUGGUAAAGAGCCCUGCCAGUUGGGAGUCGAGACUGAUGCCUCCUUUCUGAUCAUCUAUUGGCAGGUGUACUAUGUAUACGGGUUCAUGUUGCUGGUCUUUUUGAUCCUCCUAAUUGUCACCAUCUGUGUAACAAUUGUUGGUACAUACUUCUUGCUCAAUGCUGAGAAUUACCACUGGCAAUGGACCUCAUUCUUCUCUGCUGCUUCCACUGCCGUUUAUGUUUACCUCUACUCCAUAUACUAUUACAAUGUGAAGACCAAGAUGUCAGGAUUCUUCCAGACAAGCUUUUACUUCGGCUACACUUUGAUGUUCUGCCUAGGUUUAGGAACACUUUGCGGUAAGCUCUUCUUCACUGACAGCAUGUACAAAACCAAGUAUUGGAUGGUUUCAAUUGACACAUGUUGGAAUUUUGAUCCAGGUGCUGUAGGAUACCUUGGAUCGACAUUGUUCGUGAGAAGGAUAUACAGGAACAUAAAGUGUGACUAAAGAUUGGCCACAAUUAUACUGGUGGGGGGAAACUGUCUAUCAAUUCCUCGUUUCGACGAGGGGGCAUUGUUUCUGUGGCCAAGAAGCCAGGGCAUUUGUGAAAUCUGAUCAUUAUUUGACAGCAAGCUGGGCAGCCGUGGUUUUUAUGUGUUCUUGUCCCUUUUGUUCCAUCUGCGCCCCUCUUCGGGGCUAAAAAUUUUCAUGCUCAAUGAGUUAUAUAGUUGUGAUCAUAGUUGCUAAGUAGUAGUCUAGUAUAUACAGCAGUUGUUAUUCUUAAACCCAAUGGGACAUGUAUUUUGUCUUGUAAAACUGUAAGAUCGAUGAUACUAGUGAUAUUUGAUAAUGAACACUGCUCGAAGUAUAUUUAUCAUGCUUGUGCUUUCUGGGACGCAAAACUACAGAAAGAAAAUUGGAUGAUUCAGUUAGUCGUUCUUUCUUCUACAAAAUUGUUAUCUGAAUUAAAUUGUCGUUUUAUACUCCCUUUGUCUCAUAUUAAGUGACUUUUUAUUACAUGUAUCUAGACACAUUUUAUGUGUAGAUACAUCCAUAUUUGGACAAAAUUGAGUCACUUAAUAUGGGACAGAGGGAGCACAUGUCUUUUUUUUGUGAAACAUAAUGUUCAUCACCUGAAUUCAAUAGUUACAGGCAAGUCCUCUUUUUUUGUGAAACAUAAUGUUCAUUCAUCAUUAAACAGCAAUAGAGUAGUCAUGCUGAAUACAACCGGUUGAAAACACCGGCACCUGGGACUCCCGGCACACUAUGGUACAGAGAUAGAUGCACAUUCAGCAGUAAGGUAUGCUGCAGCGCAAAUCCUUUGGAAACAGGCCUUGUCAGAGAAAGGGGUGGAGGGCGCCAAAACCAGAGCUUUAGGUGUUGAAGGGCAUCCAGCCGUUGGAUGAGUAAAUCGUACGGUUCUGAACUGUGUCGUGCCAUUUGCACUCUAGUAAGAGAGCAGAAGAGCUGAAGAGGGUGUGUUUGGUUUGAGCGACCUGACAAAAUUUGGCUUACCCAAAAUAUUGGUCUUGAUCUUACUUGCCCAUAAAUUAACAACUUUAGUAAAAAAAUGAAAUAGAGUCGGCUAAAAGUCAAAUAUUUAGGGUCAAUCGACAACAAUUAAAAAAAAAAACCAAAUUUUUGUCGAGGCCAAAAAAUUCCCAUGUGCCGCAUUGGCCACCAAAUCAUGCGAAGCGCAUACCAGAUAGCAGUGGCCCCCAGGCUGCCUUCUCCUCCAGAGCGCCCUCUCGCGGCUGCCCGCUCCUCGCCGAGCUCGCGCGCCCGCAGCCGCUUCCCUCGCCCUCUACUCCCGCGUUCGCGCUGCCACCACACCCACACCCAGACACCCUUCACCUUCUCCCUCCUCCUCGCUGCCCUCGACUCGUCCCAUCCCACCAGGCCACCACCUCCUCCUACGGCAGCGCCCGCCUCGCCACGCCCGUCGCACACGCGCCGGCGCUCAAGUGCGGAGCGCUCGCGCACGCCGUCGUCACCAACUCCCUCCUCAAGCUCUACUGCGCCAUCGGCCUCCUCCCCCACGCGCGCAGGGUGUUCGACAAGGUUGCCGCUCUGGACGUGGCCUCCUGGAACACGAUGGUGUCCGGGUACGGCAAGAGCGGUGACCUGCCGGCAGCGCGGGAGGUGUUUGGCAGAAUGCCGGAGCGGAACCUGGUGUCUUGGAGCGCGAUGAUCGACGCGCUUGUGCGUGCUGAGGAGUUUGGCGAGGCGCCGUCCGUGUGUGAUGAGAUGAUGGGGGAGGGUGUCAAGCCGGAUGUGGCGGUGCUGGUGAGCAUGCUCAAGGAGUCAAGGCGUGUGCACAUCUUGGUCCGGUCAAGAGGGGUCGGUGGGCCCAUUGGUAUCUGGAAAGCGAGGGGUUUGUGGGGAGGCAAAGGAAUGUCAUGGUUUAGACGGCACUGAUGGACAUGUACUGCAAGUUUGGGUGCAUGGAGGAGGCGUGGUGUGUUUUCGACGGCAUUCGCUUCCAUGACGUUGUGCUGUGGAAUUCAAUGAUAGGAGGGCCUGCAAUGAACGGCCAUGGUCACCGUGCACUUGAGUUGUUCCAAAUGAUGCUCCAAAUCAGCCGACGUUUGUUGCUGCUUUCUGCGCGUGUGCCCACACAGGCCAUGUGGACGAAGGGAGUGCGAUUUUCAAGUCCAUGCGGCACCAUGGAAUCGAGCCACAGAGGGAGCACUAUGGGCGCCUUGCUGAUGGCUUGGUGGGCGCAUGGACAAGGCUGAGGCUGUAUUGCUGGAUAUGCCAAUGAACCACAUGCCUUGCAAUGGGGUGCGCUGAUGUUGUCAUGCCAGAUGCACAAUGUUAUUACUGUCGGAGAAUAUGUAGGGAAACGGCUCAUUGACCUAGAGCCACAUGAUGGUGGACAUGAUGCCGUGCUGUUUAACCUGCAUGCAGCCAGUGGUCGAUGGGAAGAUGGAAGAGCAAUUCAGCAGAUGAUGCUGGAGAAGGGAGCCAAGAAAGAUGCGGGUUUGAGCCUCAUGGAAUGAAAUGGUUUGGUUCCACGAUCCACACUCCGGACAAGGCAGAUCUAUUCCCUGCAGAAAGGUACGAAUAACUUAGACUAGUACUACCUCUGUUCCUAUAUAUAUAUAAGAUGUUCUAGGUUUGUCCUAACUCGAAUUUCUUAAAGUUUAACCAAGUUUAUAGAAAAAUAUACUAAUAUAUUCAAUUUCAAAUAAGUAUACUAUGAAAAUAUAUAUCAUAAUGGAUUUAACAAAACUAAUUUGGAGUCGUAGAUCUUGAUGAUAUUUUUUUCUAUAAACUUGGUCAAACUUUAAAUUUUUUGACUUAGGACAAACCUAGAAAAUCUUAUAUUUAGGAACUGAUGGAGUACUCUGUAAGUAAUUGUGAGCCAGAGCAAGUAUAAAGCGCAUGUGGUACAUACGUUUUUCGAUAAAGGGUAUCGUUACAGACAUACAGUACCUAGCUACAGUAUUCAACGUUCUGCACAGACAGGUAACCCUCACCCCGAACAGCUACCUAUUCUCCAGCAGAUCAGCAGCAAAAACACAAGCUACCGACAGGCCCGAUGACACUUCUUCUGUACAAGUGUUUUUUCUUCUGCUCCAUUUCUGCACAUCAGCGCCUCCGUAAGAUCGUUGCUUUUCCAUCUUGGUGACACCGCACCAGGCUCUCCAUUUUCAAGGCAAUUGUAGUGCACUACCUGCAGCCCCUGUUCAACUGCAACGUAUUCUUGCCAUAAAGCAAGAACCCGGAGAAGAUGGUAGGCAGGCAGAUGCUGAUGCUCGCCAUCCACCCCGACCCCGGUCGUAGUUUUUGGCACAAUAGCCAAUUCCGCAAUCCCAUUCCUCAUCCUUUCUCCCGUCAUUCUGAUGAUCCACAUGGGACUUAUUUUUUGAAGUGAGCAUGCCUUAGUCUACCAAUCAGUGUUUUGUGUAUCCAUCUAAUUUCUGACGCAUUAAUCCAAAAAAUUGUUUAAUGCUGAUUGCAGGAUACCGAAAAGUCGAAGUUAAACAAUUGCGUAUGGAUCACCUGUGCAUAAAAUGUAUAAAGACUCCAGACAGAGACAUUUUAAUUAAAGAAUAAGGUGUCAGCUCCAUCACGUUGUACUGGGUUCUCACUCAUGGCAAGGAAACAAAGUAAGAAUGGUGCACAUGGUAGUUGCACAUGUCAACUGCAAACAUUGUUUAAUUUGAUAAAUUUUCAUGGGGAUGAGGAUGAGGUUGAGGUCAACUGUCAUAUAAAUCCCCCCUAAGGGCGAACCAACGCAAGAACAUAGGCAUAGAUGGGUGUUACUGCCUUCUUCUACAUCUUGCUGUCCCUCUGGGUUCAAGAUGCAGCUGCCAUUAUUGACUUCACAAGAUGUGAUUUUGCACAAGACUUCGUAUUUGGAGCUGGAACCUCAGCAUACCAGGUAAUACGAUGAAAUCUUGUUUAUUCUGAAAAUCAUGGUUUGCUAAAGUUUGAUGUUCCAUCUGCAUAUAGUACGAGGGUGCUGUUGCUGAGGAUGGAAGGAGCCCAAGCGAUUGGGACACUUUCACUCAUUCAGGUUUGUUGCUAACUUGCUGCUACCUAUUGUGUAAUUUAUCUUUCUGAUUUUGGGGUGCUGCUAUAAAAUUUGGCUGCAAGUUUCAUAAAAAGAAUUACUAUAGCAUGGUAGCAUGUGACUAUUUUUGUUAUUCCUCCGUCCAACAAAGGAUGUCUCAACUUUGACUAAAUUUGAAUGCAUCUAUACACUAAGUUAUGUCUAGAUACAUCCAAAUUUUGGCAAACUUGAGACAUCUUUUAUUGGACGGAGGGAGUGUUUGUUUUGUAUUUCGAAGGUCUAACAACAAGAGGUUUUCACAGUUACAUCAUUUUCAUGAUGAAUGAAGUAGAAAAUUGACCAAUUCCCUUUCAGACUAACACUUCCAUAGAAUCUCGUUUUUGUUACUAAAGUAGUACUAAAUUGAACAUGAUGAUAGGCCAUAACCGGCACCACAGGUGGUUGAGCAUUGUUGAUUUGUGUUGACAGGUAAAAUGCCAGACAAAAGCACAGGAGAUAUUGCUGCAGAUGGGUACCAUAAAUACAAGGUAAACAGUAAGAGAAAUCUUCUGCCCGUGUUUCGAAGUCUAUGUGUAUGCAUCAACUUUAGGACUAAUUCAGAAUUUCUCAGAUCUAGGCAUUCCAAAAGAAAUCAUUUACUUAUCUGAUAUUUCAGGAGGAUAUAAAGCUUAUAUAUGAGACAGGCCUAGAGGCCUAUAGGUUCUCCAUCUCCUGGUCAAGGCUUAUUCCAAGUACAGAAUUCGUCACAAGGUCCAUCAUGACAAGGCAGUUUAUUUUUCUAUUUUUUUUCUAACUGUUUCAGCAAAAUUCAUGGUUCACAGAUGGACGUGGGGCUGUCAAUCCCAAAGGGCUAGACUACUACAACAACAUCAUAGAUGAACUUGUCAAACGUGGUAAAUACUCUUUCCAUUUCUCUGUAUCUGUCCUUGACCUUGGGGGUCUCCGUUUCAAACUAUUUAUCCGGAAUUAAGAGUAGUUAAUUCAAUGCUUGUACUCUCAAUGUUUUAGAAUAAGUUUGCCAUUUGAUAAGGCUAUGCAUAUUCAUUUCAUUAACUCUUUUGUAGAUUUGGUUUUCCCUUUGUAUGCGCUCAUGUUGUACUCAAUGCAGGAUUAGGUUCAUGUGGUAGAUCUAAACAUCACUUUGUUUUAAGAGAUGUAUACACCAAUAAGUUUUUUUUGUCCAGGCAUUCAAACACAUAUCACACUUCACCAUAUAGAUCUCCCUCAAAUUCUUGAAGACGAGUAUGGUGGAUGGUUAAGCCCCAGAAUUAUGUAAGUUCAUACGAGGCUUUAGAAAAAGAGAGAAAUAACUUUCUUUUUGAGUGGCAAUUCUGUAGUAACAUGACAUGCUUACAACAUAAUUGUCCUAUUCAUAGUUUUGCACCUGCAAAAUGCAGCGAAGAUUUCACAGCUUAUGCGGAUGUUUGCUUCAGAGAGUUCGGAGAUAGGGUCAAAUAUUGGACUACAGUGAAUGAGCCAAACAUUGGUGCAAUUGCCUCUUACAGCAUCGGUCAUUUACCACCUGGCAGAUGCUCAGAUCCAUUUGGAAUAACAAAGUGCACAGUGGGCAACUCCAGCACCGAACCAUACAUAGCAGUUCAUACUACCCUAUUGGCUCAUGCAUCAGUUUUCAAACUGUACAGAGAAAAAUAUAAAGUGAGCGAAUGAUGUUGUACCAAAAAACUUAGCUUAGCUCAAUGGUGAAUCCAAUAUUUUCAGUCAUUGCACAUUAACCACAUCAUAACUCAGCUUUCGGAUACGCAUUUCAGUACAAUAUUGCCUUUUCCUGUUUUCUUUUCCAGUGCAAAAUUUUUGAGGUACGGACUCAUGAAAAAACUUUUGGAGCAGGCUGAGCAAAAAGGAGUCAUCGGCAUAAAUAUCUACUCCUAUUGGAGUUAUCCAUUCACAAAUUCCACUGUGGAUUUAGAAGCAACUCAAAGAUCUAAGGAUUUCAUGUUUGGCUGGUAUGGUAUUUACCUAAAUCUUACAGUAGAAGCAUGUCAAAUGCUUAAUCCUUGCCUGCUGAGAGCCUGACCGUGAUACUGACAGGAUACUGGAGCCUUUGGUGUCUGGGGACUAUCCUGAAGUAAUGAAGAAUAUUGUUGGCUCUCGCCUUCCAUCCUUCACAAUGGUUCAGUCUGGAUUAGUCAAGGAUUCUUUUGAUUUUUUUGGAAUAAAUCACUACUAUUCUUUCUAUGUGAGUGACCGGCCUAUGGAAACAGGUGUUCGAGACUUCUAUGGAGACAUGUCAAUUUCUUACAGAGGUAAAUAACUUUUUUGUUCUUCCCAUGGUGAUAGAUCAAAUUGUUGCUUAACUGCUACUAGUGAUUUUGUGGCAUAGUAUGUACUACCUCCGUUUCAUAAUUCUUGUCGAAAUCUUACAUGUAUCUAGACACUUUUUAGGAAUAGAUACAUCCAUUUUUGAGCAAAUUUGAGAUAAGAAUUAUGGAACGGAGGGAGUAGAAUAUAAUUCCUGUCUUAAAUUAUAAUAAGGUGCACACAGCAAACACUGCAAGAUAUGCAAAAUACUGAGAAGCUGCUACAAUGGAUCCUACUCUACUAAUAAUUGAAAAGCAGCCUUUCCUGAUCAAUGAGUCAUAUAACAUGGACAAUUCUCUGAGAGCAGUGUUCGGUCAUAAAUCACCACCAAACAUGUUUGCUGUCUUGAAAGUAUUGUUUUUCCAUCGAAUUACAUUUUUUUCUGCCACAAUUUUCUAGAUGGCAGAACUUUUUUUUGUUUGCUUGAGAAAUACAGUAACUCUAUGAUUGCACUUGUGUGCCUUUGUUGCUCUAACUAGAUAACUAUUUGUAUGCUGCAGCUUCUAGGACAGAUCCGCCAGCUGGUCAGGUAAAAUCUUGUCAUCGUGUGAAGUUGCCAACUCCAAUUCUUUUGACUGUGCACUGCAAAUAUUAAAUUAGAAAUACCAAACUAACUCAAGAGAUUAGAUAAAAAAUACGCGCUUAAAAUAGAUUUGAUCAAGGUUGCCAAACGGAUUUUUGUUUAUAACUGUCAUAGUUACUAUCUUGAUUUGUCUGCAGGGUGUCCCAACAAAUGUUCCAAGUGAUCCCGAUGGGUUGCAUCUAGUACUGGAGUACCUGAAAGAAACCUACGGGAACCCUCCUCUUUAUGUCCACGAGAAUGGCAAGCACAUAUUUCGCUCAAAAAAAUAAAGAAAAGAAUGGCAACCCAUACAGUUUGACACGAAGUCUGUAAACUAUUCAAGUCGCUUCUUUAACCUCACUUACCCUGUUUUUCAUCUCACCAGGCAUGGGAUCUCCCAAGGACAGCCUCAAUGACACUUACAGGGUCGAUUGCCUGAGCAGCUACAUGGGAAGCACACUAGAUGCUAUAAGGUAUACUUGAUUCAUGGCCAAAUACACGCGAUUUUUCUGCACACGACUGCAUUUCUGUCCAUGAAAAACAAUGAAAGAAAGUAUUCCACACUGACGAGAUGGAUGCCCUGUUGUUGUUCUGCAGGAAUGGGGUUAAUGUGAGAGGCUACUUCACCUGGGCAUUCAUGGACCUGUUCGAACUCCGGGCAGGAUAUCAGUCCAAGUAUGGCCUGUACCGCGUAGAUUUCGACGACAUGAGGCGACCGCGGCAAGCCAGGCUCUCUGCUCGCUGGUACUCUGGCUUCCUGAAGAAGAACGGAUCCUCUCUUCUAAUAUCAAGAACACAGGAGGACCUGACGCGGAACACCGUGUCGUAAGUGUGGUUCACGUGCUCGAGAGAUGGCACCUGUAUGUAUGCAUGCAGUUGUCUAGAGUUUUGACUGUUUGACAAAAGGCCACUCCUUUUCUUUUCUGAAAAGAAUGGUGGUGUGAAACAACUCAAGUACUAUAAAUAAGAUUUGUUUGGUAAAUCUCAGUUGCCUGAAAUUUAGUUAUGGCUCAGUCUGAUGCGAUAGCUAUCUGAUUACUCCACCUUAAGAUUCGUAUGUUUGGUGAAGAGCCCUGCCAGUUGGGAGUCGAUACUGAUGCCUCCUUUCUGAAAAUUUAUUAGCAGGUGUACUAAUAAACGGGUUCAUGUUGCUGGUCUUUUUGAUCCUCCUAAUUGUCACCAUCUGUGUAACAAUUGUUGGUACAUAGUUCUUGCUCAAUGCUGAGAACUACCACUGGCAAUGGACUUCAUUCUUCUCUGGUGCUUCCACUGCCGUUUAUGUUUACCUCUACUCCAUAUACUAUUACAAUGUGAAGACAUGUCAGGAUUCUUCCAGACAAGCUUUUACUUCGGCUACACUCUGAUGUUCUGCCUGGGUUUAGGAACACUUUGUGGUAAGCUCUUCUUCACUGACAGCAUGUACAAAACCAAGUAUUGGAUGGUUUCAAUUGACACAGGUUGGAAUUUGGAUACAUGGUGCUGUAGGAUACCUUGGAUCGACAGUGUUUUUGAGAAGGAUAUACAGGAACAUAAAGUGUCACUAAAGAUCAGCCCCAAUUAUACUGGUGGGGAGGAACUGUCUAUCAAUUCCUCGUUUCGACGAGGGGGCAUUGUUUCUGUGGCCAAGAUGCCAGGGCAUUGGUGAAAUCUGAUCAUUAUUUUACAGCAAGCUGGGCAGCCGUGGUUUUUUUUUGUGUUCCUGUCGUCCCUUUUGUUCCAUCUGGCCCCUCUUCGGGCUAAUUUUUUUUUCAUGCUUGAUGAGUUAUAUAGUUGUGAUCAUAGUUGUCAAGUAGUAGUACUAGAUCUUUAGGAUAUACAGCAGCUGUUAUUCUUGAACCCAAUGGGACCUGAAUUUCGUCAUACAAAACUGUAAGAUCGAUGAUACUAGUGAUGUUUCUUGAUGAACACUGCUCCUGAAGUAUAUUUAUCAUGCUUGUGCUUUCUGGGAGGCAAAACUAUAGAAAGGAACUUGGAUGAUUCAGUUAGUGUUGUUUCUUUCUUUUACAAAAUUGUUAUCUGAAUUAAAUUAUCUUUUUGACAUGUCUUAAUCACCUGAACUGAAUAAGAACAUCUUGACAUACAAAAUUUAUACGCAGAUCCUUUGUUCCAUAGGAAGCGGACCCUUGUCGCGUGGACGUGAGCUAGAUGUAAACGGAGGGAGGGCGCCAAAAGCCCAAAACCAGCCGUAGGUGUUGAAGGGUUGAGGAGCAAAAGAAAUCUGAAUACGCAUGACCGUCGCCCGGCAGCUCCCGCAUCGGCGAAAUCAUGCGCAGCACAUGUCGGAUAGCAUCGAGGUGGCCGCUCGCACCCGUGCACCGCCGCCUCCGCGGGCUCGUUGCCGCUGCCAUCUCCUCCACAGCGCCCUCUCACGGCUGCCCGCUCCAUGCCGAGCUCGCGCGCCGCGGCGCCCCCGCGGCCGCCUCCCUUGUCCUCUACUCCCGCAUUCGCGCCGUCACCACGCCCACCCCUUUCACCUUCUCCCUCCUCCUCGCUGCCCUCGCCUCGUCCUCUUUCACCACCUCCUCCACCGGCAGCGCUUGCCUCGCCGCGCCCGUCGCGCACGCGCAGGCGCUCAAGUGCGGCGCGCUGGCGCACUCCGUCGUCACCAACUCCCUCCUCAAGCUCUACUGCACCCUUGGCCUCCUCCCCCACGCGCGCAGGGUGUUCGACUCGGGUGCCGCUCUGGACGUGGCCUCGUGGAACACGAUGGUGUCCGGGUACGGAAAGAGCGGUGACCUGGCGGCAGCGCGGGAGGUGUUCGGCAGAAUGCCGGGGCGGAAUCUGGUAUCUUGGAGCGCGAUGAUCGACGCGCUUGUGCAUGCCGAGGAGUUUGGAGAGGCAUUGUCGGUGUUUGAUCAGAUGAUGAGGGAGGGUUUCAAGCCGGAUGUGGUAGUGCUGGUGAGCAUGCUCAAGGCGUGUGCGCAUCUUGGUGCGGUCAAGAGGGGUCGAUGGGCCCAUCAGUAUCUGGAAACGGAGGGGUUUGCGGGGAGGCAAAGGAAUGUCAUGGUUGAGACGGCGCUGGUGGACAUGUACUGCAAGUGUGGGUGCAUGGAGGAGGCCUGGUGUGUUUUUGACGGUGUUCGCUACCGUGACGUUGUGCUGUGGAAUUCAAUGAUCGGAGGGCUUGCAAUGAAUGGUCAUGGUGACCGUGCACUUGAGCUGUUCCAAAGGAUGCUCCAGGAAGGUUUUGUGCCAAAUCAGUCUACGUUUGCUGGUGCUUUGUGCGCGUGCACCCACACAGGCCAUGUGGAUGAAGGGAGAGAGAUUUUCAAGUCAAUGUGGCACCAUGGGAUCGAGCCACAGAGGGAGCACUAUGGGUGCCUUGCUGAUCUCCUUGGGCGUGCUGGGCGCGUAGGCGAAGCUGAGGCUGUAUUGCUGGAUAUGCCAAUGGAGCCACAUGCCUCACAAUGGGGUGCGCUGAUGUUGUCAUGCCAGAUGCACAAUGAUAUUACUGUCGGAGAACGUGUAGGGAAGCGGCUCAUUGAGCUAGAGCCACACCAUGGUGGACGUUAUGCCAUUCUGUUCAAUCUGUAUGCAGUCAAUGGUCUAUGGGAUGAUGCAAGAGCAAUUCGGCAGAUGAUGGUGGAGAAGGGAGCCAAGAAAGAUGCGGGCUUGAGCCUCGUGGAGUGAAAUGGUUGGUUCCACAAUCCACACACCGGACCAGGCAGAUCUAUGCCCUGCGGAAAGGUACUAAUAUCUUAUACUUGUUUAAGUAUUGCGAGUGUGCCAGAGCAAGUAUAAAUGGAUGUGGUACACCGUACACGAUGGAGAAGGAAUAGUUUCUAUGUGAGGCUACAGUAUAGCUGCAGAACUGAAUGAACCGGUGCUUUCUCUGCAUAUCAGAAUGCACAUACAAGAACCCCAUCACGCUCGGCAUCUACCUGUUCUCAGCAGCGAAAACACAAGCUACCGAUGAGAACAAAUCACACUUCUUCUGCACAAGUGUUUUUUCUUCUGCUCCAUUUCUGCACAUGCAUGCCUCCGUAAGAUCGUUGGCUUUUGCGUCUUGGUGAAUGGUGACACGCACCACACUCUCCAUUUUCCAGGCAAUUGUAGUGCUACCUGCAGCGCCCUGUUCAACAUCAAUUUAUUCUUGCCAUAAAGCAAGAACCUGGAGAAGAGGGUAGGCAGGCAGAUGUUCACCAUCCGCUCUGGUACUAGUUUUUGGCACAAUACCCAGUUCUGCAAUCUCAUCCCUCAUCCUUUCUCCUAUCUUUCUUGUGAUCCACAUGUGACUUAAUUUUUGAAGUGAGCAUGCCUUAGUCUUCCAAUCAGUGUUUUGUGUAUCCAUCUAAUUUCGGACGCAUUAAUCCAAAACGUUGUUUAAUGCUGAUAGCAGGAUACUGAAAAGUUGAAGUUAAACAAUAGCGCACGGAUCACAAGCACAUAAAAUAUGUAUCAAGGCUCCAGACAGAGACAUGUUAUUAAAGAAUAGGCGUCAGCUCCAUCACUUUGUACUGGGUUCUCUCUCAUGGCAAGGAAACAAAUCAAGCACGACACACGUGGUAGUUGCACAUACUGCUGCAAACAUAGUUUAAUUUGAUAAGAGCAUGAAGUUGAGGUCAACUGACCUAUAAAUCCUCCGGAAGGGCACAAACCAUCCCAAGAACAUAGACAUAGAUGGGUGUUACUGCCUUCUUCUACAUCCUGCUGUUCCUAUGGGUUCACGAUGCAGCUGCCAUUAUUGGCUUCACAAGAAGUGAUUUUGCACAAGACUUCGUCUUUGGAGCUGGAACCUCAGCAUACCAGGUAAUAUGAUGAAAUCUUGUUUCUGCUGAAAAUCAUGGUUUUCUAAAGUUUGAUGUUCCAUCUACAUACAGUACGAGGGAGCUGUUGCUGAGGAUGGCCGGAGUCCAAGCUUUUGGGACACUUUCACUCAUGCAGGUUAGUUCCUAACUUGCUACCUAAUUUUUCAGUUUAUCUCUGAUUUUGGAGUGCUGCAAUAUCUGACUAAAUUUGCGACUGCAGAUUUGAUUAAAAGAAUUGGUAUAGCAUGGUAGCACGUGACUAGUUUGUUUUCUUUUGUACUCCAAGAAUUGGAGUGUUUACAAAGCUAACAACUACAGAUUUUCAAAUUCCUGAUCAUUUUUCAUGACAAUAAAGUAUAAAUUUGAGACCAGUUCCCUCUUGGCCAAAUACCUCCGUAGAAGCAUAUUUUUGUUGUUAAAGCAGCACGGAAUUAAACAUUGUAAUACCCAAGGUCAUGACCGGCACCGCAUGUGGUUGACCAUUGUUGAUUUGUGCUGACAGGUAAAAUGCCAGACAAAAGCACAGGAGAUAUUGCUGCAGAUGGGUACCAUAAAUACAAGGUAAACAAUAAGAGAGGAAAAAUAAUCUUCUGCCCAUGUUUCAUGGAAGUCUAUGUUUAGGCAUCAACAUUAGGACUAAUUCAACAUUUCUCAGAUCUAGUAACUCCAAAAGAAAUCAUGUACUGAUAUUUCAGGAGGAUAUGAAGCUCAUUUCUAAGACAGGACUAGAGGCUUAUAGGUUCUCCAUCUCCUGGUCAAGGCUUAUUCCAAGUACAGAAUUCCUAGCAAUCACAACAAGCCAUUUUAAUUUUCUAUUUCUUCUAACUGUUUCAGCAAAAAUUGCUGUUCCAGAUGGACGUGGGGCUGUCAAUCCCAAAGGGCUAAAGUACUACAAUAACAUCAUAAAUGAACUAGUUAAACAUGGUAAAUACUCUUUCCAUUUCUGUAUAUCUGUCCUUGGCCUCAGCCGGGAGUCUAUGUUUCAAAAUAUUUGUCCGGUGAUCAAAAACUGUAGUUAAUUCAAUGCUUGUACUCUGUACCACUAAUUUAAUGUUUUGGAAGAAGUUAUGUGGUUAUAGCAUACCAUUUUAUAAGGCUAUGCAUAUUAGUUUCAUUAUUAUCUCUCCACAGAUUUGGUUCCCUUUGCAUGUGCGCAUGGUGGACUCAGACAUAUAUACCGGAGCGAGUGAAGUAUAUAUUUGUGAUCUUUGAUGAUCCAAAUGCAUUACAGGCUUAGGUUCAUGUGUUAGAGCUAAACACCAUUUUUUUUUCAAGAGAUGUAUACACCAACGAUUUUUUUUUGUCCAGGCAUUCAAAUACACAUCACGCUUCACCAUAUAGAUCUCCCUCAAAUUCUUGAAGACGAAUAUGGUGGAUGGUUAAGCCCCAGAAUUAUGUAAGACAUUUUUAAGGAACCAGAAUUAUUAAUUUUAUAUAAGGCUUCAAAAAAAGAGAAAGAACUUUCUUUCUGAGUGGCAAUUCUGUAGAAACAGUGACAUUCUUACAACCUAAUUGCCCUAUUCAUAGUUGUGUGUCUGCAAAAUGCAGCGAAGAUUUCACAGCAUAUGCGGGUGUUUGCUUCAGGGAGUUCGGAGAUAGGGUCAAAUACUGGACAACAGUGAAUGAACCAAACAUUGGUGCAAUUGCCGCUUAUGGAAGUGGUCAAUUACCACCUGGUAGAUGCUCAGAUCCAUUUGGAAUAACAAAGUGCACAGCGGGGAACUCCAGCAUUGAACCAUACAUAGCAGUUCAUACUACCCUAUUGGCGCAUACAUCAGUUGUCAAACUGUACAGAGAAAAAUAUAAAGUGAGCGAAUGAUCUUGUAUGCAAAAACUUAGAUUAGCUCAAUGGUGAAACCACCAUUGUCAGUCAUUGCACAACACUCAUCUUUCUGAUAUACGUUUCAGUACAAUAUUGCCUUUUUCUGUUUCCUGUUACAAUGCCAAUAUUUAGAGGUACAGACUACAGGUAGACUCAUUAAAAAAACUUUUGGAGCAGGCUGAGCAAAAAGGAGUUGUGGGCAUAAAUAUCUACUCCUAUUGGAGUUAUCCAUUCACAAAUUCCACUGUGGAUUUAGAAGCAUCUCAAAGAUCUAAGGAUUUCAUGUUUGGCUGGUAUGGUAUUUACCUAAAUCUUACACUAGAAGCAUGUCAAAUGCAUAAUCCUUGCAUGUUGAGGGCCUAACCGUGAUGACAGGAUACUGGAGCCUUUGGUGUCUGGGGACUACCCAGAAGUAAUGAAGAAGAAUGUUGGCUCUCGCCUUCCAUCCUUUACAAAAAUUCAGUCUGGACUUAUCAAGAAUUCUUUUGAUUUUAUUGGAAUAAAUCACUACUUCUCCGUCUAUGUGAAUGACCGCCCAAUAGAAAGAGGUGCUCGAGACUUCAAUGGAGACAUGUCAGUUUAUUACAGAGGUGAACACAAGUUUUGUUCUUCUGAUGGUGAUGAGUCAAAUUGUUACUUAACGGCUAGUAAUUUUGUAACAUAUUAUUAAUGUACAGUUUGUUGAUUCCUUCCUAGUAACUCUGCACACAAGCAAGCACCACUAACAGUGGAUCUUACUAACAAAGAGAAUCAGCCUUUCCAGAUCAGUUAGUCAUAUAACAUGGACAAUUCUCUAGUGUUCUUGCAUAAAUCACCCCAAAACAUGUUUGCUGUCUAAACUUGAAAGUGUACUUUUUCAUCGAGAUACAUUUUUUGACCCUAGAUGAUACAACUUAUUUUUUGACCAUUUCAAUCUAAAAGUAUUACAUUUAUUCUCCACCAUACUAGACAAAUACAGUUUUUUUUUACUUAAACUGUAAGAGCUGUGCGAUUGCUGUCCGACAGUGCAACCUUCAAGGAUUGAACUCUGGUGGGCUGCCAGCACACCUGGCUGGCUGACCACCCAAGCUAUGCUUGUUUCUCACUAGACAAAUACAGUUACUUUUUUAUUGAAGUUUUGUGCCUUCUUUGCUAUAACUAGAUACUUGUUUGUAUGCUGCAGUUUCUAGGACAGAUCCGCCAGCUGGUCAGGUAAAAUCCUGUCAUUGUGUGAAGUUGCCAACUGCACUGCAACUAUGGAAGUAGAAAUACCGAACUGAUUCAAGAUAUUAGACAAAAAAAAAGAAACACUUAAAACUGAUGUGAUCAAGGUUGACAAAACACUUUUGGUUCAUAACCGUCAUAGUUACGGUCUUCAAUUGUCUGCAGGGUGCCCCAACAAAUGUUCCAAGUGAUCCCAAAGGGUUGCAACUUGUACUGGAGUACCUGAAAGAAACCUAUGGGAACCCUCCUGUUUAUGUCCACGAGAAUGGCAAGCACAUAUUUCCCUCAAACAACAGAAAAAAUAGAAUGGCAAGCCAUGCUGUUUGGCAUGAAAUAAAACCUGUAUUAACUUUUAACUAAUCACGUGCUUCUUUAACCUCACUUGCCCUGUUUUUCAUUUCAUCAGGUGUGGGAUCUCCCAACGACAGCCUCAAUGACACUGACAGGGUCGUUUACCUGAGCAGCUACAUGGGAAGCACACUAGAUGCAAUAAGGUGCUUGAUUCAUGACCAAAUGCACACGACUGCAUAUUUCUAUGCCAUGAAAAACGAAGAAAGAAAAUAUUCCACCCUGACGGGAUUGAUACCCUUUUGUUGUUCCGCAGGAAUGGGGUUAAUGUGAGAGGCUACUUCGCCUGGGCAUUCAUGGACCUGUUCGAACUCCUGGCGGGAUAUCAGUCCAAAUACGGCCUGUACCACAUCGAUUUCGACGACAUGAGGCGUCCCCGGCAAGCCAGGCUCUCGGCUCGAUGGUACUCUGGCUUCCUGAAGAAGAAUGGAUCUUCUCUUCUAGUGUCAAGAACACAUGAGGACCUGACGCUGAAUACAGUGUCCUAAGUUCGUGCGCAAGAUGGUAGGUGUACGUAUUGAAGCGCUUGUCUAUGGUUUAACAAAAGGCUGCUCAAUGCAAUUUUCUUUUCUGAAAAGAGUGGUGGUUUGAAAGAACUGAAGUACAAAUACAUAUAUCUAUUCGGUGAUAUACGGUUUUUGAACUCACCUUUGACGGAUGAGGGACUCAUCAGAAACCUAUCGUCAUUGACAAAAUCAUCACUGACGGGUUGUAGAUCAGUAAGUGGAGACAAACCAGCAAUGCCGGACGAUGCAAGAAAGGUCUGUUAGCUGAGACUUUUCCAGGUGGGCUCAAGAGCCUAUUGUAGAUGUCAUCACUAACUGGCCGUUGAUGAUGGUCCAUCAGCGGUUAUAGGUCAUCUCUUGCGGGUCUUACAUACUGACCUGUCUGGUGAUUUUUAUAAUGACUUGAAAGUUGUCACCAUUGACGAGCUAGGUCGGCUAGGUCUAUCAAUGGUGACUUUCUUUAGAGUAGAUUUGGCGGUUGCAAAAAUUGCCUAAAUUCAUGCAUAUAUUUUUUAUUCAUUGUAUAAGUAUAUCAGUGGUGACUUUCUUUAGAGUAGAAUUGGCAAUUGCAAGCAAAAAUAGCCAAAACAAUUCAUGGAUAUAUUUUAUAUUCAUUGUAUGCACAUUCUUAUUGAUUUGAACUAUACAUUUCACUCAUUAUGCAUAGAUAUUUUAAUCAAUUCUCGCAUCAACGACAUAAGGAGGAACACAAGUCCUAUAUGAUCAAGACGAUGUAGUAGAGAAAACACAAGAUAUACUUUUGAGAAGAAAUAUAGAGUAGUUAUAAAAUUUCUUGAAGCUAAUUAAGAUUAGGGUUUCAGGGUCGGUGGUUACUCAUUUGGUGAUGAUUGCUCAUUCACCGGAGAUUGAGGCACCACCUGCGCAACAUGCAGGGGUGUCCCGCCGUCGAAUUAUGUACCAAAAAAUCGCAACACAUCACUGGUUCAAGAAAUGAGCCAUUAUCUGUUAGCUCCUGAAUCAACAUUUUUGUAGUCUUAACAUCAUACAUGGCAUUCACAAUAUCUUGAGAUUUUUGUUGCAACUUUUUGCGCAACAAGUCUGUAAUUCCCAUAAGUUCUUACAUGACAUGCAGAAGAAAUAUGAAAUCAAAAGACAUUAUCAACUUAACAGAACCAGAAGCAUUUGAUCGUGCUGAAGGUGAAGUUCCUAAACCUUUAGCAGUAGCAAUACUUUGAUUUGUAUAAUUUCAAAAGGCUGCAAACAGAAGCAUAAUGAGAACUCCACCUAGUGUCACAAGGCCGUUAAUUGUGUGUUCCUAAAAAAAAGUAAGUUUUCUUGCGCUCCAAGUAGUCCUAAAAAAACUGAGUAUUGCUAACGAAACUAUGGAGAAACACAAUAAACCUUUAAGUCUAUAAUUGCAGAAAGUCUUUUCUAGGAUUUAAGCAUAGAAAAUUCGUAAAUUAAAUCAUCUCAACUCAAAAAAAAUUAGCAAUAUAUAAAUGCUCGGAAGAAGAUAACCUAUCUGUUCAUGCCAUGCAUUCAUGCUACUCGCAAUUUGAAUAAUAGCUUUGAAAAAAGAGUAAAUUUCACAAAACCACACUUCUUGAGGUUAGGGUUUCAUCGGGCCACAGUUAUCACUAAUAGUCUCACAGAACCAUAGUUUUUGGGGCACUCUGUCUCACAUAACCCAAAUCAGGUAGAUUAUAUCGUUUAAUGGUUUUUCUGACAGGUGGGGCCCACCUGUCAAAUGCCACCUCAGGCGAACAACCCGUUUCGUUGCCAUAUCAGCUCCCGGACCCGACCCGAGAUAGCGUUUUAGGUAGAGAAAUAACCCUUAACGGGUCCGGAUGGGUCCGGAAACUGACGUGGCAACGAAAUGGGUCUGACUUGGCAUAUGUCAAGUGGGUCUCACUUGUCAAAAAUACCAUCAAACGGCCUAAUCUAUCCAAUUUGGGUUCUGUGAGACAGCUUGAUCCAAAAACUGUGGUUCCGUGAGACUAUUAGUGAUAACUGUGGCCUGAUGAAACCCUAACCCUAAAAAGUGUGGUUUUGUGAAGUUUACUCUUGAAAAAAAAUUCCCUUUAAUUUUGUUUGAACCGGGAACACGCUUUACUCUAUUUGAUUGAUGCAGAGUGAGUAAUAAAGCACGCAAAAUUGUAUCGUCUCUGUAGUUGCCCUGUUUGGUUAGAUUUAAACGUGGCUUUUGAUUUUUGGCUUAUCAGACACAAAAGCAACUACGCUUUGGCUUUUGAUAUUUGUCUUGAUAUUGUUAGAUGAUGAUAUAAGAAACAUAACCAAAUUCAAAAGCACCUAAAUUAUAAGCCGAAAUUUCAAAACGCACAUUUAAAUCUAACCAAACAGACCCUAAAUAAGGUACGGCCUCGCCGCGCCCGUUGCGCAAGCGCACGCCCUCCGUCGUCACCAAUUCCCUCCUCAGCUCUACUGCGCCCUCGUCCUCUUUCCCCCAUGUGCGCAGGGUUUUCGACUCGGGCGCCGCUCUGGACGUGGCCUCCUGGAACACGAUGGUGUCCGGGUGCGGCUAGAGCGGCGACCUUGCGGCAGCGUGGAAGGUGUUUGGCAGAAUGCCAGAGUGAACUUGGUGUCCUGGAGCGCCAAGUCCACGCAGGUGGGGGAGAUCAACAGCUACGCGGGGGGUAAUGUCGGAUAUCUCUCGCUUUCGGGGAGAACGACCGGAUCGCGCAGCCUGUCUUGUCUGGACUGACAAGGGUAAAUCACGUCAAGAUCGCAGCAGCUGACGGAUCCAGCGGCAGGAGCCUGCGUUCUUCACAUUUGGUGCAUCCGACGGAGAAAGGUGAAUCUCGUUUUACUUUGUCUUUGCCAAUGCUGGAAAAUCCAGUCGAGAAUAUGCUAGGAGCAGGUAGGUAGGAUGAGAUUUUGGUCAUGGCCUGCCGAAUAGGACCACCUGUCAGCGACCUAGCAGCCGUAUGCAGCCGCAAUCGUACUACACAAACACAGAUCUUCUCUCUUUCUAUUCUAACCCGAACACAUGCCAGAGCGCCUAGCUGGAUUCGGAAGACGUGGUUUGGUUGGUGAUCCUGGCCAGCGAUCACACACACACGGACACGAAGAUCGAGCAAGGUGACAUUGCACUUAAUUGAGUUGUUCCAAAGGAUGCUCAUUGCUCAACCAACAUUGCUCGCUCUGCAGACAAGAACAGCUGAACAGACGAUACGCUGAUACGCAGGAACCCCCAUUUAAGGCGAACGUUGGCUCUGGCAUCUUGGUGACAACGCACCAGCCACCAGGCUCUCCAUUUAAGGCGUUAGCUCCAUCCCUUUCUAGCGGGUUCUUCUCUCUCACGGCAAGGCAAGGAAACAAAGCAAGCAUGAUACACAUGCUAGUUGCGGACUGGGAUUCCCCGACGCGUGUCAGGGUAACGUGUGUGGUGGGCCGUGAGCCCGCCGUGUAAGCGGCCCUGUGUUACCCUGACGCUCGUCAAGUUGAUGCACAUGUCUGCUGCAAACAUUCUUUAAUUUCAUGAAUUUGUAUGAGGUUGAGGUCAACUGCCGUAUAAAUCCUCCCAGAGGGCACAAACCUACGCAGGAACAUAAACAUAGAUGGGUGGUGUUACUGCCUUCUUCUACAUCUUGCUGUCCCUCUGGGUUCAGGAUGCAGCGGCCAUUAUUGGCUUCACAAGAAGUGAUUUCGCACAAGACUUCGUCUUUGGAGCUGGAACCUCAGCAUACCAGGUGAUAUGAUGAAUUCUUGCUUGUGCUGAGAGUCAUGGUUGGCUAAAGUUUGAAGUUAACUUUCGUAUGCAUAUAGUACGAGGGUGCUGUUGCUGAGGAUGGCAGGAGUCCAAGCUUUUGGGACACUUUUACUCAUGCAGGUUAGUUGCUAACUUGUAACCUAUUUGUGCAGUUUUCCUUUCUAAUUUUGGAGUGUUGCAAUAUCUGAUUCAAUUUUGGGCUGCAGAUUUCAUUAAAGGAAUUGGUAUAGCAUGUGAUCUGUUUUUUGUUUUUCGAAUGCCUAAUAACAAGAGAUUUUCACAAUUCCUGAUCAUUUUUCAUGACGAAUGAGGUAGAAAUUUGAGACCACUUACCUGUCGGGCAACAACCUCCAUGGAAGCACGUUUUUGUUGCUAAAGCAGCACGAAAACAUGGUAAUACCCAAGGCCAUAACCGGCACCGAAUGAGGUUGACCAUUGUUGAUUUGUGCUCAUAGGUAAAAUGCCAGACAAAAGCACAGGAGAUAUUGCUGCAGAUGGGUACCAUAAAUACAAGGUAAACAAUAAGAGAAAAUUCUUCUGCCCGUGUUUCUUGGAAAUCCAUGUUGAUGCAUUCAACAUUAGGACUAAUUCAGCAUUUCUCAGAUCUAGUAAUUCCAAAAGGAAUCAUGUACUUCCCUGCAAAAAAGAAGAAGGAAUCAUGUACUUAUCUGAUAUUUCAGGAGGACCUCAAGCUUAUAUCUGAGACAGGCCUAGAGGCCUAUAGGUUCUCCAUCUCCUGGUCAAGGCUUAUUCCAAGUACAGACUUCCUUGCAAGGUUCAUCACGACAAUCCAUUUUAAUUUUCUAUUUCUUCUCUAACUGUUUGAGCAAAAUUCUUGGUUCGCAGAUGGACGUGGAGCUGUCAAUCCCAAAGGGCUAGAGUACUACAACAACAUCAUAGAUGAACUAGUGAAACAUGGUAAAUACUCUUUCCAUAUCUCUAUGUCUGUCCUUGGCCUCGGGAGUCUCUGUUCCAAAAUAUUUGUCUGGGAAUCAAUAGUGUAGUAAAUUCAAUUAUUGUACUCUCUACCCCUACAUUAAUGUUUUAGAAGAAGUUAUGUGGUCGUAGCCAACUAGCAUGCUAUUUGUUAAGGCUAUGCAUAUUCAUAUUUCUUUUACCGAAAACUGUAGGAGAGUAUGCAUAUUCAUUUCAUUAACUAUUUUCUAGAUUUUGCCUUUUCAUGUGCGCUUGGUGGACUCAGAACAAAUUAUAGCGGAACAAAUCGAGAGUAUAUUAACGUUUAAUCAUCCAAAUACAAUCCAGGCCUAGGUUCAUGUGGUAUAGCUCACCAUCAUUUUGUUUAAAGAGAUGUAUACAAGAUUUUUUUGUGUCCAGGCAUUCAAAUACACAUCACACUUCACCAUGUAGAUCUCCCUCAAAUUCUUGAAGACGAGUAUGGUGGAUGGUUAAGCUCCAGAAUUAUGUAAGUUUCUGCAAGGCUUAAAAAAAGAGAGAAGUAACUUUCUUUGUGAGUGGCAGUUCUGUAGAAUUGUCCUAUUCAUGCAUGCUUUGGCAUCUGCAAAAUGCAGCGAAGAUUUCACAGCGUAUGCAGAUGUUUGCUUCAGGGAGUUCGGAGAUAGGGUAAAAUACUGGACUACAGUGAAUGAGCCUAACAUUGGUGCAAUUGCCGCUUAUGGCAGUGGUCAAUUACCACCUGGCAGAUGCUCAGAUCCAUUUGGAAUAACAAAGUGCACAGCGGGGAACUCCAGCACUGAACCAUACAUAGCAGUUCAUACUACCCUAUUGGCGCAUGCAUCAGUUGUCAAACUGUACAGAGAAAAAUAUAAAGUGAGCGAAUGAUCUUGUGCCAAAAAUAGUUUCGUUGCUAUUUAGGCUCUUCCUAAACUGUGACAUCAUUAGGCAUCUUAGCUUAGCUCAAUGGUGAAACCACUAUUUUCAUUCAGUGCACAUUAACCAUAUCAUAACUAGAGCUGCAAAAUUGUGACCCUCAGGGUACCCUUUGACCCUCCUUAGUUCAACCAAAUGAACUAAAAUUUUAAAUGACACAACUUUUUGAAAAACUAGUUCAUUUGUUUGAACUAAGGAGAGUCAAAGGGUACCCUGAGGGUCACCAUGUUGCACCCCUAAUCAUAACUCAUCUUUCUGCUACAUGUUUCAGCACAAUAUUGCCCUUUCCUGUUUCCUGUAACAGUGCAAAUUUUAGAGGUACCGGCUACAGAGUAUUGCCUUUUGGAUGCAGGCUGAGCAAAAAGGAGUUGUGGGCAUAAAUAUCUACUCCUUCUGGAGUUAUCCACUCACAAAUUCCAGUGUGGAUUUGAAAGCAACUCAAAGGGCUAAGGAUUUCAUAUUUGGCUGGUAUGGUAUUUACCUGCAUCUUACAUUAGAAGCAUGUCAAAUGCAUAAUCCGUGCACGUUGAGAGCCUUACCGCGAUACUGGCAGGAUGCUGGAGCCUUUGGUGUUUGGGGAUUACCCAGAAGUAAUGAAGAAUAUUGUUGGCUCUCGCCUUCCAUCCUUCACAAAAGUUCAGUCUGUACUUAUCAAGGAUUCUUUUGAUUUUUUUGGAAUAAAUCACUACUAUUCUCUCUAUGUGAAUGACCGACCUAUAGAAAUAGAUGUUCGAGACUUCAAUGCAGACAUGUCAAUUUAUUACAGAGGUAAACGACUUUUUUGUUCUUCCGAUGGUGAUAUGCCAAAUAGUUUUUUAACUGCUAGUAAUUUUAUGACAUGUUGAUGUACAAUUUGAUUCUUUUUCAUAAACUAUAAUAACUGUGCACACAAGCAAAUGCUGCAAGUAUAAACUGACAGUGGAUCCUACUAAUAAUAAAGAAAAACAUCUUUUCCAGAUCACUGAGUAUGAGCAUGUAACAUGGACAAUUGUGUUUUGUCAUAAAUCACCACAAAACAUGUUUUCUGUCUUGGAAGUAUAGUUUAUCCGUGAGUACAUUUUUUUUCCACAUUAUUCUAGACGGAACAACUGUAUUCACCACCUUAGUAGAGAAACAUAACAUCUAUUCACCACCUUAUCAGAGAAAUACAGUAAGUUUAUGAUUGCAGUGGUGUGCCUUUGUUAUUCUAACUAGAUAAUUAUUUGUAUGUUGCAGCUUCUAGGACAGGUCCGCCAGCUGGUCAGGUAAAAUCCUGUCAUUGUGUGAAGUCCCCAACUCCAAUCCUUUUGGCCGUGCACUGCAACUAUUGAAUUAGAAAUGCCAAACUAACUGAAGAGUUAAGAUAACAAAGACACGCUUAAAAUGGAUGAGGUCAAGGUUGACUUAACGGAUAUUGGUUUAUAGCUGGCAUAGUUAGAGCAUGUACAAUGCAGGGAGGAUGCUUACAAAAAAUAAAUCGAUUUUUGUUUAAGCACUUGUGCCUGUUUGUAUAGGACAAUUGCUUAAUUAGGCACCUCUAGCUCUUCCACUUUGAGCCUAAGUUUGAGGGUUUCCUGGAGGUUGUGGCCGCUGCUUGGGCUACUCCCACCCCUAGUUGUUCCUCGGCAUUUCUCCUCAAUUCCACGACGAGGCUUGUUAGUCAGAGGUUGCAAUCUUGGGGUGCGAAGCAGAUUGGCAACAUUCGUCUCCCAAUUGAUUGCGCGGUCUAGCUCAUUUUCCGGCUGGAGGCUGCCCAGGAGAGUCAGGAUCUCUCUCCCCUCGAGGCCUGGCUUCGCAAGUGCCUCAAGCUAAAGUACCUAGCCUGUGCUCGCUUCACCGUACUAUUGGCAUUCAUAGAUCCUGGGUUUCCUGGCUCAAAGAGGGUGACGCAAUACCGGCUAUUUCCACUUCCAUGCGGGGGCCCGUCGGUGCCACACGAGGGACAGGACCUGGUCAAUCAGGAUCGUGUUGAGGAGGCGAUAACUUCCUUUUAUGAGGACGUCUUUGAGUCUCCCGAGGAUCGGUCGCAUUCCCUGAACUUUGAGUUCCUUCGGAUCCCACGACAUGAUCUGCAUGCCUUGGAGGAACCUUUUUUCUGAGGAUGAGAUUUGGGCAGCCAUCCAUGCCAUGGCCCCUGACCGUGCUCCCUUCCCCGAUGUUCACGGGUCUCUUCUUCAAAUCUUGUUGUUCCAUCAUCAAGGCGAGGAGCUUGAGCUGUUCUGUUAUAUACACCGAGGUGGGAGUGCGGGUUUUCACAAUCUCAACUGUGCUCUACUGACUCUCAUCCCUAAGAAGAACCAUUAGGUUGGUCCAUGGCGUCGCCAAGCUCGUGGCUAAGGUGAUGCCCCUUCAGGCCUUCAGUUGGCUCCAUCUUAUACCGACCCUAGUUUCGGCAAAUCAGUGUGCCUUCAUUUGUGGUCAGGCUAUUCACAACAACUUUAUAAACGUGAAGCAAAUGACUAGGUCUCUCCACCUCCCUCACUAGCCCGCAGUGCAUUUUAAGCUUGACGUUGUUAGGGCUUUCGACUUAGUGUCUUGGGCCUUCUUGCUUGAUCUUCUUCGGCACAUUGGUUUUGGUCGCACUUGUUGUGCAUCGCCGGGGUUUGUGCUAGGGCGACCCUGUUUUCAUGAUGUUGUUUGUCAUUGUCAUGGAAGCUUUCAACUACCUGUUCCUGGCAGCCUCCAGGGAAAAUCUUCUUUCUCCUUUCUGUGGGGAUCAUCUUGCAUUUCAUGCCUCCUUUGUUGAUGAUGUGGUAGUCUUUAUUAGACCCUAAGGUGGAGGAUCGCGCCACAUUGUUGCCGCCUCGAGGUUGCGCACGAACAUCCUCACAGAGGAUCUUCAAGUCGUUCUCCACUACCUUGCCUGUCCCAUCAAGGAACUACCCAUCAUUUACCUUGGUGCCCUGGUCUCCAUCUCGAAUCAUCGCCAGCACGACUUUCAGCCUCCUCGACAAGGUGGACUGCAAGCUUGCGGGUUGGAGAGCCGGCAUGCUUUCCAGUGGAGGACAGCUUGUUCUCGUCAAAUAGGUCCUUUCUGUGAUGCCGGUGCACACACUGCUCGCCAUUGACAUCCCCAAGUGGUUCGGGGAUGCUAUCAAUGAGAAGCAGCAUGGGUUCUUCUGGAAAGGUCAGUCAGAUGCCCAAAAGAACCAUUGUGCUAUUGAGUGGGCCAAGGUUUGCCACUCAAUCAAACUUGGUGGUUUGGACGUGCGUGACACCAACCUGGUGGCUGCUGCCCCUCUGGCUCAGGUGGCCUUGGCUGCACCACGUCAACUCAGUCAAAAACCUAGGCCUCCUUCAAGAUUCGGUUCAGCCAGCAAGUGCUCGCUCUCUUCCCCGACGCUUGCAGCUCGGUUGUCGGCAAUUAAUGGUUGCUCCACUAUUUUCUAGACCGACAACUAGAUUGAUGAGAAGUCGAUCGAGCAGCUCGCCCCGGUGGUCUUUGCCGCCGUUGGGCUGAGGCUGAUUAGCAAGCACAAGGUUUCGGACGCCCUUCCCAAGAGUGCCUGGAUCUAGGAUAUCUCGGGCAACCCGCAAGCUUGCAGUCCAUCUUGUCGAAUUUCUCCAUCUUGCAGAUUCUCUCGCGGUCAUGCAGGACGAGAGGAUGUCCUUGUUUGGGGCUGGUCGGCCUUUGGGACCUACCCCGCCAAAUUGACCGACAUACACUUCUUGUGAGUGCUAAGUUCCCCAACAUGGACGCAUAUUUGGCGUUGUUGGGCCCUGGUUGAGGUGCCGAAUCUGGUUGUGGCUAACUUGUGCUAAUCGGUGUUGGACGGCCGAUCUCCUUGAGCGACGGGAUCUCCCCUUCAAUGAGUGUUGCCCCGUUUGUGAUCAGGAGCCGGAGACCAUGGCUCAUCUCCUCUUGGGAUGUGUCUUCACGAGGUCGAUCCUCCAGGAGGUCAUGUCUGAAGCUAGGGCGCUCGUGUGCUUACCGAGACACUCUGAAGACCUCUCUACUCCGUUAGCAGUCAACAGGUCAAAGCUGUCUGUUCCCUUCUUCUCUCUCCCUUUGACGGAUCUGGAAGCUUCGUAGUGCUUGCAUUUUUUAGGGUGCUACUUUGCUCGCUUGGCCGAAGAUAUUCUUAUUGAGGCGGACCUAUGGCGGCACGCAUGCACGCGUGCCUUGAGCCACCCCUCCCCCUGCAUGCCGGAUGCUAGCCUUAGCCCUCCGGGAUUUUCUUUCUCUUCCUUUUGGGGGGUCUCCUCAUUUUCUUUUGUUUUUGUUUUCUUGUUGUCUUCUUGCACUUGCAUCUUCUUCUUAAUGAAAAUGAAGCGCCGCUUAGCGUGUGCGAGAAGAAUUAGACAUCUCUGUCAGAAAUUAGCACGGCUGCAUAAGAAUAAACUAGUUUAAUUUUAUAAGCAUCUCAUUGAGCACCUUCUUGUAUUGUACAUGCUCUCAUGAAGUUACGAUCUUAAUUGGUCUGCAGGGUGCGCCAACAAAUGUUCCAAGUGAUCCCAAAGGGUUGCAACUUGUACUGGAGUACCUGAAAGAAGCCUAUGGGAACCCUCCCCUUUAUGUCCACGAGAAUGGCAAGCACAUACUUACCUCCCAAAAAAAACAAGGAUGACCAAGCCCAUGCAGUUUAACACAAAGCAAAGUCUGCAUUAACUAAUUAAGUUGCUUCUUAACCCUAAUUUUCAUCUCAGCAGGCCUGGGAUCUGCCAACGACGACCUCGAUGACACUGACAGGGUCGAUUACCUGAGCAGCUACAUGGGAAGCACACUAGAUGCAAUAAGGUACGCUCCCUCCGAUUCUAAAUUAUUGAAUUAACAACAAAAAUUUAGUAUCGGAAGGAGUACUUGAUUCAUGACCAAAUACACACGACUGCGUAUUUCUAGAGUACUUGAUUCAUGACAAAAUACACACGAGUGCGUAUUUCUAUGUCAUGAAAAACAAAGAAAGAAAAUAUUCGACCAUAACGGGAUGGAUACCCUUGUUGUUCCGCAGGAAUGGGGUUAACGUGAGAGGCUACUUCACGUGGGCAUUCAUGGACCUGUUCGAACUCCUAGCAGGAUAUCAGUCAAAAUACGGCCUGUACCGUGUCGAUUUCGACGACGUGAGGCGGCCUCGGCAACCCAGGCUCUCGGCUCGUUGGUACUCCGUAUUUCUGAAGAAGAAUGGAUCUUCUCCUCUAGUGUCAGGAACACAGGAGGACCUGACGCUGAACACCGUGUCCUAAGUUUGGUGUGCGCGUACGCGAGAUGGCACGUGUGCGUAUGCAACGCUCUUGUCUAUGGUUUAUGGUUUGAUAGGAGGCUGCUCAAUGCAAUUUUCUUUUUUCAGAAUAAUGGUGGUGCGGAAUCCAAGUACAAAUACAUAUAUUUAUUUGAGGAUGUACGGUUCUCAAAUUCUCACCUUUGACGGAUGAGCGACUCGUCGGUAACUUAUUGUCAUUUACAAAAUCAUUUGGUUGUGUGCAUCCAUCGACGCAGAGGUCGGCGGUACUCCCUCCAUUUGAUUUGUUUUUUACAAAGUCAUCAGCGAUAACACGUAAGUGGAGACAAACAAGCACAUCGUGGCCGGAUGAGUAAGGUUUGUUAGAAGUGACUUUUCUAGCGUGGCCGGACGAGUAAGGUUUGUUAGAAGUGAUUUUUCUAGGCAGAAGCCUAUUGUAGGUGUCACCACUGACUGGCCAUUAAUGAUGGUUCAUCGGUGAUAGGUCAUAUCUAAUGGAUCUUUUUAAUAUAUCUGUCAGCGUACAAUUUUUAUAUUACUGCUGCACCACUAAUUGUCGAAGAAAAAUUCAAUCUCCCUUUUGAAUUUGACGUAGAGUAAUAAAGCCCGUAAAAAAAUAGCUCCGUUUAACUUAAAAAACAGUAUUCCUUCCGACCGGUAUUACUUGUCUCAAAUUUGUCCAAAUACGGAUGUAUCUAUGUGUAAAAUGUGUCUAGAUACAUGUAAUAUUUCGACAAGUAAUUCCGGCCGGAGGGAGUAGUAACUGUCUCCAUGAUGGUAUAUAGGGAUGUAAGCGGGCUCCCGCUUCUAGUUCAUUUGAAAUUUGCUACUUUCUCCGUCCAAUAAAAGAUGUCUCAAGUUUGUCAAAAAUUGGAUGUAUCUAAACAUGACUUGCACCGCGAUGUUCGACGCAUGUCGAGGAGUUAGCUGAGGUGUUUCAAGCCGGACGUGGUGGUGCUGGUGUGAGCAUGCUCAAGGCAUCUUGGAGAUCCUGGUUGAGACGGCUCCGGUGGACAUGUAUGUAGGGCAAGGAGGAGGCCUCUGUGCGUUCGCUGCCGCGUCGUCGUGCUAUGGAAUUCAAUGAUCGGAGGGCUUGCACCGCGCCAGGUGGGGAAAAGCAAAAUCAAAUGUAUGCGCGGGGGGCAAUGGCGGAUGGCGGAUCGCUGUCGCUCGCUUUCGGGAUUCGGCUGCCUGUGUGUCUCGACCCGAGAAGGGAAAUCACGUCAAGAUCGCAGCAGCAGCAGCUGAUGGCAACCUGCACUCCAGCGGCAAAUGUCUGCGCUGUUCACAUUAAUUUGGUACUACAUCCGACGGAGAAAGGUGAAUCUCGUUUUACUAUCUUUGCCAUUAUUGGAACAUCUGCGUCGUUCACAUUUGGUGCAUCAGUCCUGGGACCAUUAUCUGCUGGAGUAGAUGCAGCAGUGAUCGACAAAGUACUCUGAGAAGCACCACGAAGGUCUAGCAAGGUGGCCGUACGUGCAGUUCUUCUGCACAAAUGUUCUUUUUUCUCCCGAAACAAACCUCAUCCUCCAUAAGAUCGAUCGCUGGCUCUUGCUGUCUUGCAUCCUGUUGACACCGCACUACGCCCUCCAUUUUCCAGCCAAUUGUAGAUUUGUAGCGCACUACAUGCAGCGCCCUGUUUAACCUCACCAUAAAGCAAGAACCUGGAGAAGAGGGAUAGGCAAGCAAGAACCUAGAGAAGAGGGUAGGCAGGCAGAUGCUGGUGCUCAAUUUGGUACUCUCAUUCCUCAUCCUUUCUCCGGUCAUUCUUGUGAUCCACAUUAAAUAUAAGGCGUUGGCUCCAUCACUUCCUACUGGGUUCUCUCUCACAGCAAACAAACAAAGAAAGCAUGAUGCACAUGGUAGAUGCGGACUGGGAUCCCCUGACAUGUGCCAGUGUAACAUGUGGGCCCCACAAGUCAGUGGCCCCAUGUUACCCGGACAUGUGUCAGGUGAUGGACAUGUCUACUGCAAACAUUCUAUAAUUUGAUAAAUUUGUAUGAGGGUGAUGUUGAGGUCCACUGUCGUAUAAAUACUCCCCGAAAGACCGAAUCAACGCAAGAACAUAAACAUAAAUGGGUCUUGCUGCCUUCUUUUUUAUCUUGCUGUCCCUCUGGGUUCAGGAUGCAGCUGCCACUAUUGGUUUCACAAGAGGUGAUUUUGCACAAGACUUCGUCUUUGGAGCUGGAACCUCAGCAUACCAGGUAACAUGAUGAAAUCUUGUUUGUGCUGAAAAUUAUGGCUUGCUAAAGUUUGAUGUUCCCCAUCUGCAUAUAGUACGAGGGUGCUGUUGCUGAGGAUGGCAGGAGUCCAAGCUUUUGGGACACUUUCACUCAUGCAGGUUAGUUGCUAACUUGCUACCUAUUUGUGCGGUUUAUCUUUCUGAUUUUGGAGUGCUGCAACAUCUGAUUAAAUUUUGGGCUGCAAAUUUGAUAAAAGGAAUUGAUGUGCAUGGUAGCAUGUGACUAUUUUUGUUUUUUGUUUGUACUCCAAGAAUUGGAGUAUUUCUAGUUGCUAACAAGUAGAGAUUUUCACAAUUCCUGAUCAUUUUUCAUGACCAAUGGAGUAGAAAUUUGAGACCAGUUCCCUGUCAGACAAACACUUCCAUACAAGCACGUUGUUGUUGCUAAAGCAGCACGAAAUUGAACAUGGUAAUAGCCAAGGCCAUAACCGGCACCGCAUGUGGUUGAUCAUUGUUGACAGGUAAAAUGCCAGACAAAAGCACAGGAGAUAUUGCUGCAGAUGGGUACCAUAAAUACAAGGUAAACAAUAAGAGAAAAAUCUUCUGCUCGUGUUUCUUGGAACUCUAUGUUUAUGCAUUCACAUUAGGACAAAUUGCACCUUUCUCAGAUCUAGCAAUUCCAAAAGAAAUCAUGUACAAUUACUUGUCUGAUAUUUCAGGAGGAUCUCAAGCUCGUAUCUGAGACAGGCCUAGAGGCCUAUAGGUUCUCAAUCUCCUGGUCAAGGCUCAUCCCAAGUACAGAAUUCCUUGUAAGGUUCAUCAUGGCAUGCCAUUUUAAUUUUUUAUUCUUUUCUAACUGUUUCAGCAAAUUUCUUUGUUCGCAGAUGGACGUGGCGCUGUCAAUCCCAAAGGUCUAGAGUACUACAAUAACAUCAUAGAUGAACUAGUGAAACAUGGUAAAUACUCUUUCCAUUUCUCUAUGUCUGUCCUUGGCCCUCGGGUCUCUGUUCCAAAAUCUUUGUCCCAGAAUCAAUAGUGUAGCUAAUUCAAUUCUUCUACUCCCUACCCCUACUUUAAUGUUUUUUUACCGAAUACUUUAAUGUUUUAGAAUUAGUUAUGUGGUUGUACUCCGUAGCAUACUAGAAUGGCAUUUGAUAAGGCUAUGCAUAUUCAUUUCAUUAAUAACUCUUUUGUAGAUUUAGUUUUCCAUUUGCAUGUGUACAUGGUGGACUCAGGACAGAUAUAGCCUUAUAUUUUAACCUUUGAUCAUCCAAAUGCAAUCCAGGCUUAGGUUCAUUUGUUAGAUCUUAACAUUGUUUUUCUUAGAGAUGUAUUAAUGUAUACACUAAUAAAUGUUUUGUCCAGGCAUUCAAAUACACAUCACACUUCACCAUGUAGAUCUCCCUCAAAUUCUUGAAGACGAGUAUGGUGGAUGGUUAAGCCCCAGAAUUAUGUAAGUUUGCAUAAGGCUUCAAAAAAAAAGAGAGAAAUAACUUUCUUUCUGAGUGGCAGUUCUGUAGUAACAGUGGCAUACAACCUAACUACAGUAUUCAUGGUUUUGCAUCUGCAAAAUGCAGCGAAGAUUUCACAGCAUAUGCAGAUAUUUGCUUCAGGGAGUUCGGAGAUAGGGUCACGUACUGGACUACGGUUAAUGAACUGAACGGUUGUGCAAUUGCCUCUUAUGGCAGCGGUCAAUUUCCACCUGGAAGAUGCUCAGAUCCAUUUGGAAUAACACAGUGCGCAGGGGGGAACUCCAGCACUGAACCAUACAUAGCAGUUCAUACUACCCUAUUGGCGCAUGCAUCAGUUGUCAAACUGUACAGAGAAAAAUAUAAAGUGAGUAAAUGAUCUUGUACCCAAAAUAGUUUCGUUGCCCUUUAGGGUCUUCAGGAACUGUGACAGUAUUAGCCAUCUUAGCUUAUCUCAAUGGUGAAACCACUAUUUUCAGUCGUUGCACAUUGACCAUACCAUAACUCAUCUUUGUGAUACACGUUUCAGAAGAAUAUUGCCUUUUCCUAUUUCCUGUUACAGUGCAAAUUUUUAGAGGUGCAGCACUGCAGCCUACAGAGUAGACUCAUACAAGAAACUUUUGGAUGCAGGCUGAGCAAAAAGGAGCUGUGGGCAUAAAUAUCUACUCCUUCUGGAGUUAUCCGUUCAAAAAUUCUAGUGUGGAUUUAGAAGCAACUCAAAGAGCUAAGGAUUUCAUGUUUGGCUGGUACGGUAUUUACGUAAAUCUUGCACUAGAAACAUGUCAAAUGCAUAAUCCUGCAUGUUGAGAGCCUAACCCUGACACUGACAGGAUACUGGAGCCUUUGGUGUCCGGGGACUACCCAGAAGUAAUGAAGAAGAUUGUUGGCUCUCGCCUUCCAUCCUUCACAAAAGUUCAGUCUGGACUUAUCAAGGAUUCUUUUGAUUUUUUUGGAAUAAAUCACUACUAUUCUCUCUAUGUGAGUGACCGUCCUAUAGAAACAGGUGUUCGAGACUUCUAUGGAGACAUGUCCAUUAGUUACAGAGGUAAACAUCUUUUUUGUUCUUCUUCUGAUGGUGAUAGGUCAAAUUGUUGCUUGACUACUAGUAAUUUUGUGACAUGUACAAUUUGAUUCUUCUUUAUAAAUUAAAAUAACUGAGCACACAAGCAAAUGCUGCAAGUAAGAUAUGCAAAUAUAAACUGAGAAUCUGCUACAAUGUAUUCUACUAAUAAUAAAGAAAAGCAGCCUUUCCAGAUCAAUGAGUCAUAUAACACGGACAACUCUCUGAGUGCAGUGUUCUGUCAAAAUCACCGCAAAAACAUGUUUGCCGUCUUGAAAGUGACAUUUAUUCACCACCUUAUUAGAGAAAUACAGUGAUUUUAUGAUUGCAGUGGCGUGCCUUUGUUGCUCUAACAAGAUAAUUAUUUGUGUGCUGCAGCUUCUAGGACCGGUCCGCCAGCAGGUCAGGUAAAAUCCUGUCGUUGUGUGAGGUUGCCAACUCCAAACCUUUUGGUCGUGCACUGCAACUAUUGAAUUAGAAUACCGAACUGACUCAAGAGAUUAGACCAAAAGAAUGCUUAAAACUGAUGAUGUGAUCAAGGUUGACAAAACAAUUUUGGUUCAUAACCGUCAUAGUUAUGAUCUUGAUUGGUCUGCAGGGUGCCCCAACAAAUGUUCCCAGCGAUCCCAAAGGGUUGCAACUUGUACUGGAGUACCUGAAAGAAGCAUAUGGGAACCCUCCCCUCUAUGUCCACGAGAAUGGCAAGCAAAUACUUCCCUCAGAAAAAAGAAAAAAAGGAUGACAAGCCCAUACAGUUUAACACGAAGCAAAGUUGUCUGAACUAAUCAAGUUGCUCCUUGUUUCUCAUCUCACCAGGUGUGGGAUCUCCCAACGACAGUCUCAAUGACAACGACAGGGUCGAGUACUUGAGCAGUUACAUGAGAAGCACACUAGACGCAAUAAGGUGCUUGAUUCACGACCAAAUGCACAACCUGCGAAAUAAAUAUUCCACCCUGACAGGAUGCCCUCUUGUUGUUUCCGCAGGAAUGGGGUUAACGUGAGAGGCUACUUCGUCUGGGCAUUCAAGGACCUAUUCGAACUCCUGGCAGGAUAUCAGUCCAAAUAUGGUCUGUACCGCGUCGAUUUCGACGACGUGAGACGGCCGCGGCAAGCCAGGCUCUCGGCUCGCUGGUACUCGGGCUUCCUGAACAAGAAUGGGUCCUCUCUUCUACUUUUAACAACACAGGAGGGCCUGAUGCCGAAGUGAACACCGCGUCCUAAGUUUGGUUCACGUGCUCAAGAGAUGGCAGUGCACGUAUGCACGCGCUAGUCUAGAGUUUGACAGAAGGCCACUGUAUUGAGCGGCAGAUUCUGAAUCUUUCUUUUCUGAAAAGACUGGUGGUACGAAAGAACUCGAGUAUAAAAACACACACAUAUUUAUUUACAAAAUAAACGGCUCGUAUUUAUUUCAGUGAAGGCAGGCUCCUGUGGAACAUGAUCCACACCACUGUGCCCAGGGGCGGCGUAGUUAGUGGGGGCUGGCGUCGAGGUGUAGUUCAGGAUGUGGUCGUUGAGAACGCGUCGUUGCGUCACGCUCUUGUGCUCAGCUGGGCGGCUGCUUGAACUCCUGAGUUCGGCGGAGAUAGAUGAUUGUGAAGGACUCAAAAACCAGCUCCUGCACAUUUCCCAGCCCCGUGGACUGCACACCGGCCAUAUAUAGCUCCUCCGCCUCUUGGAAGUGAACAUGAAAAACGUAAGCCUCGUACAACCAUCCCCAUUAGGAUACAAAGCUAGCAAUCUUCCACGCUCAUCAUCUUUUCGGCACCUUUCCGAGCCACUCUCCGCUGUGCCUGAGCCUGCAAGGUGUACUGCUUUUGCAGCACCUGGAGCCUCUCCAGGAGUUCUCGGAAUGAAGGGCGGCGUUGCGGGUCACUUGCUCACAGAAAGGAUAACCGUUUAGCGGGACCAGGGAUCGGUUGUUUACUACUACUAGUGCAUAAGACGUUGAUAUAUACCUGACCCAGCAACUCUCGAUCAUCGAUGACCACUGAGGGUCUGCGUCGCUUGGAAUUUCCAGUCUGUGAUCCAUGAAACCCACUGCUCCAAUAACCUGUGGCAUAGGUAAGGAUCGUAACAUUACGGAUUUGACACUAAUGGAAAAGCUUCUGCUGUUAUGUCCCCAAAAAAUUAAGCAAGAGACUAGCUUUUCUUAAACUGCAAUGGUGAUGAUCCGAGUUUUUCUUUUACUUAAACUAUAAAAGCUGUGUGAUUGUAGUCCGACAGUAUAUAGAUAUACUAUAAUUUUUACAAAGUGAGACACCAAAGUAGACCUUUGAGCACACCUGACUAGUAAUACAAAACAGACAUGCACAUAGCAAAUAUGUACCUGCAUUGUAUUGAGAGUAUCCCAUGGUACCUUCUGAGUAAUAAGCUCCCAUAGGACCACUCCAUAGCUGUAUACAUCAGACCUAUAUUUACCAAAAAAGGAAGAAAUGACAAAUGAGUAACCAUCUGUAGCUGUAGGUAGCAGGAAUAUCUGUUGUUCAGGAAUGUGAUGUUAAACUUACUUUUCAUUUGAAGGUUCACUUCGUAACACCUCUGGAGCCAUCCACUGCGGCUGGAUAUGGAAGCUAAGCUAUCAGAUGUUAUGUAAAUAAACAGAAAAAAUGUAGUAGGUGAAAGCUUAUGACUAUCUUGUAAAUUAGUCCGGAGAAUCCAUGUCAAAAAGUCCAGUUUGCUUGUACUUACUGUUCCUUUUCCAGUUUUUGUCGUCAGAAAUGUUUCAAGUUUGAGACGUGAAAGACCAAAGUCUGCAACCUAAUUGAACAAAGUGAGAAAAGAAAGCAUAAAGUAUGAGGAACUAACUUUCAUAGUUACCUUUACAGUCCAGUUCUUAUCAACCAACAGGUUUGACGAUUUUAAAUCACGGUGCACAACAGUGGGGAUGGAAUUGUGAAGAUAAUUCAUGCCCCUUGCCUGCAACAAUAUCAAUUAUGUUUAAGAAUCCAUAUGGCAAUCAAAGCUUCCAUACAGACAAAAUACAUACUUAUCAAACAAAAUAGUACCAACUUCUAUCUCCAGCGAUUGACUUUUGGUGAUAUAUUCUUUGGUUGCGAUCAUAAUAAUAAGAUACCAUGUUAGAUGGAAGGUACUAGUCUACUACAUGAUAUCACGUCUUUUCUUGUUCAUUCUUCCAUGCACUGAAGCUACAGAAAUGGCAAAGUUUGCAUGCAAUUCAACUCCACUUCUACACAGUUACAAAGAGUAGUCCUGUAUCUAUUCCAAAUGUAUCAUGAGAUGUUCAAGUGAAGAAUGUUUAUCCAGUUUUUCUGGAUAAUUUACAAAUAUUUAUUUCUCAAAACUUCCAUAUAAUUUAUUUCACUUGGCAUUUCCUGAUUCCUGGAAGUUGUUAAGAAGAAUACACUCACUAUGUCUAUAGCCAUGUUAACUCUCCUUCUGGGAUCCAGCUUGCCAGUGUUCUUUUGAAGCAACCGAAAUAAACUCCCUCUGCAUUAUGGAACCCAGUAAAGUGCUACACAGAGCAACCAAAAAAAUUUGAUCUCUUAUGAGAUUGUGAAGUCUAAGCAAUUACAGAAGAACGUCAAAACUCAAUUUCCAAUAACAAGAUGGUUCAAAACCCAGGGAAAACAAAAACUAGUCCAACUAGCACAAAAUAAAUGCAUGGUAAGUCAGCAGUCAUUUCAGUAUCAAAUUAAAGGGACCAAGAGUAGUUCGAGAAGAAAAAAAGGACCAAGAGUAUACCAGUACCCUUUUGAAAAAAAUGAAUUCAAACCGGGUGGUUGGUUACACAACCAUCUCCAUCCGCACCAGCCAUCGAGCCACCCAUUAAUCCUUAGAAGUGGUUUCAGUAGUAUGUGAAAAAAAAGGCCUUUACGCAAGUUGUAUUCAGAAUUCGGAUCUUCAAGCCCGGUCACUUAUGCAACAGUGGAUCAACAAGAACAAGGAGGUUUACUAACGUUUCAAACCAAAGCAUAUAUGGUAAGUUGUAUUUGGAUCUUCAACCCUAGCUUGCUUAUCUGAUAGCGUAUCAACAAGAACAAGGAGGUUUACUACUCCCUCUGACCCAUAUUACUUGUCUCAAAUUUGCCCAAAUAUGGAUGUAUCUAUGUUUAAAAAGCAUCUAAAUACAUGUAAUAUAUGGGUCGGAGGGAGUAAUUACAUUUUAGACCAGGACAUAUAUGGUCAAGAACUCCUUGGUAAGAAACAUGAAUUAUAUUAUUAUUUUAAUAGCCCAUAUCGUCAUAUAGAAAACUACUCCCUCCUUUUCACAAAGGUUGGCGUAUUUGGUUUUUUUAAGACAAAGCUUUGACCAAUGAAUUAGAAAAUGAACAUGUGUUUUUUCAUACAUGAAAUUUAUAUCAAUAGAUUCAUCUUCACAAGUUUUUACUAAUAAUUGUGGUUUCGUAUUAUAUAAAUUACAUAUUAAUAAAGUUAUCAUUUGUCAAAGCCUUGUCUUAAUGAAACCAAAUAUGCCAACCUUUGUGAAAAGGAGAGAGUACUGCUUAGUCUUUAUCUUGCACCAGGUAAAGGAAAAAGUAACAACCUCAGAGAAAAAAAUGUAGGAGAUAUAUAGCAUACCGUGGGAGAAAUUCCGUAACAAUACAAAGUUGUUGCUGUGACGCAGCGGCACCCAUGAAAAGUAUUAUAUUGGGAUGCCGUAGUUUCUUCAUCAAUGAUACCUACAUAUUUGAAGACGCAAAUAUGGUCAUGACCACAUACUAUGGAAGAGGAAUCACACGAACAUGAUUUAGCCAAUGUAUUGCUAACUGAUGUAGCCUACAAAAAUGUCAACGAAAGUGAAGAUCUGUUAACACCGUAUCCUUUCUUCAUAUUUAUCCAUAUGAUUACAUCAACAUAGAAUAUUGAAUAUAGCAAUUAUAGAUUAUGUGAACAUCAGGAGGUCCUUGCAAUGUUCUCGAGUAUAUUUCUCAAUAAUACAGUACAUAUAAUGCAGCUCUGUUGACAUCAUAUUCAAUUUCCUGAGUAAUUGAGGGCCAACAAAAAUUGUAUUUAGAUAUAGAUGUCCACCUCUUGUCUGAAUGUAUUUAUCAUUUCUUCUGAAUAUUCCUGUUUGGAGAAUACUUUAACUGCCACAUCCUACAGGAACAUAGAUAAAUAGUGAGAAUUUUUUGUUAAGAUGUAAAGUUUCUAUCAUUAUCAGAAAGAGAACGUACAUACCGAGCCAUACCACAAAGCAUGAUACACUGUUCCGCAAGAACCUGCAUGUAUCAAACAUGAAAAUAGCACAAAUGAGUGGCAUUUGUUACAAAAGAGGACAAUACUAGAUUGUAUACAGCAGUCUAAGAAUAGUCGUAUUCUUGUUAAUUCUGCUGUCUGAUUAUCUAGGUGAUCUUUCUGCAGUAAACAAAGAGAAGAGGCAGUGAGAAUGUACUUAUAAAGAACUGAUUUGGAUUAUGCCAAUUGUAAGAGGAGCAUACAUGAGCUACUAUUAAGAGACGUGCAUAGCGAGGAACAAUUGACAAAGAACGAACUGCUUAAGUACAGUGCCUAUGCCUAAAUCUUCUGAAGUACAAGCUAUAAUACAUUGACAAAGAACAGACAUGCAUAGUGAGCAAUCCAUUACAAGAUAUAGCUAUCCCUAUGCCUAAAUAUAUAUAUUUUUUUCAAGACAAUCUUUGAAGCACAUAUCAACAAGAUAUGGGAGUGUUUACAUGUGCAGACAGAUGGAGGAAUUGCAAAGGGCGAAGUAACUACCUUGGCCUACUUGUUCUCCAAUUACUAGGUCUUCCCACAGAAUCUCGUAAUCUAAACAAUCUCCUUCAUAAUCUACUCUGUCGAUAGCACUGCUAUUAGUACUCCCAGGGCUGCUCAUACUACUCAUGCUGGUAUUGUUGAAAGUCCACCAGGAACCUGAGACCUCAUAUGUGCUUGCCUGGGCAUAUUCAGUGUCUUGGCAGUCUGGAAUUAUGAUAGGCUCUAGAACUGGAACUCUCCGAUCACUCUCGUCAUUCUCUUGCUUAUGAUGCAACUGUGUCGGGGCCAUGUUAUUCUUUCCAGAACCCUCAUCAGUUUCAUGCCCUUUCCAAGGCCAUGAUAUUCCCUUCUUGGACAAUAAUGCCUCAGCCUUUGAAGUGAACAUCUUGUGAAACCCUACUUUUCCUUCACCUGAAUCAUCACUAUUUGUUUUACUCGACUUCCGAGGCGAUUUCUCUUCGGCAACAAAGGCAUCAUGCAGUACAUCCCCACUUGGGGUGCUUUCUUCACUUGAUGUCAGCUCCACCCUGACACCAUGUUCAGAAUAUUGGCCCUCACAGCCACUGCCAUACUGUUUGUCACAAGUCUGACCUGUCUUUAUCCGAGAACGAACUUUCCUUGUAACCUUGCUAGCCUGUGUUGUUAUUCUAAUAUAAGGAAGAGAAUACACUAGGAAAUAAUUUGUGACGAAAUACCAGAAAGAGAAGCAUUCCAUUGAAACUAAACAGUGCAGUCCUUUCUCUUUGCUCAGAAAUAUGACUUACAAAGGUAGUUAUCUUGGAGGUGAUAGCAGUUUGCAGAGGUUGCUGUGAGCCAGAAGAACCUUUAUCUAGCGAACCACUUUUAGGCUCAUUGUUAGCAUGAAAAUAGGGCUUUGCUGAACUUUGGUAGGAUUCUGCUGAGGCUGGAGGACUAAAUAUCUCCUCCAAUGCCCGUGUAUCAAGUGACAGACAUAUGAGGCCAACCAAGCUACCAUCGUCAUCGUAUAAAGGAGUGUUAUGAACAACAAUAAAAAACCGCUCUCCUGACUUGUUUUUAACGGGAAACUUCCCUCUAAAACACUUCCCCAUAAAUAUACUCUGGAUAACGACGUAGGCCGCGUCGAAGUCAGCAGGAUGACAAAUUAAUUCAACGGCAUCCUGGCCAAUUGCUUCUGAUGCAGAAUAGCCAUACAUAUGCUCGGCAUACCGGUUCCUAGGUCACAGUAAAAAGCGGACAAUUUGGUAAGCAUAGCAAUUGAACAGAGUCAGCUGUGUGUAGAAAUGCAGACUACAUUAAGAAUUCCCAUGCCUCUUGAGCCAGGUUGACCAGUCGUGAGCAUGUGAUCUACACUGAUUGCAUGCAUCAAAACGUGCCUUGACCUACCCUAAGUAAGUUACAUUACUUAUGUAUGCAUGAUGUGUUCAUAAUAAACAGCAAUGAAAAUGUCAGUUAGUUUACUUCCCAAGUCGCUGGCCAAUGUCAUAAGACACCUCAGUGUUAUCACUGGAAGAAGCUAGAGACUGCAAAUCCAUUAUUCUAAAAUUGGUAACUGCUUUCCUCCCAUGAAAGCAUUAGUUUCCCUCUACCACAGAACGCUGAUCGACCAAGACCAGUUCAAUUGCUUCAAUACAGCCCUAGGAAAGAACAUUAAAUUUUCCAACAACACACAAGAUUUGUCCAAGUCAAACUAAGUUGAAGUUCAGAGUUGAUGUUUUUAGAUCUACAUAAGUACCAGCAUCAUGUAUUCACUCAUCAAGAUUACAUAAACUAAGCACAAAGCCCCAUAUCUUACACUUGAACCUAUGCUUAAUACUGUUCCAGCAUUUCAUCGAACAUUUGGUGAACAUUGAGCAAACGCAACCGAACCAAGACAUGCAAGGGACCUCACCAGUACAGGAGCUUCCCAUCGGGUGCAAUGAUGUGCACGGCCUGUCCCAGAGACUGCAGUAUCCAGUGGCAGUGCCUGUCGGACAACCUGCCGGGGCUCUCGCGGAGCACCCGCGAGGAUUGCGGGGGCGCGGCGGCGGCGACGGCGCGCCGCGACGAAGGCAGCGGCAGCGCAGAUGAAUUGCGGCGCCGGGCAGCAAGCUGCGCACCGCGGCGCUCCGGUGCGAGCUUCCCUAACUCCCGCUUGAGCUCCGCGUGGCCCUCCUCCAGCAGCCGUAUCUUCUUCAGCAGCUCGUCCGCUUCCAUUCGCCGGCGAAGAGGUACUAUUGGAUCAAAUCAAAUGGGGAUAGAUAGCGGAAGACAUCCGCCGGCGAAGACGUCACGAGCUGGUGAUCCGCUGGGUUUGGCGCCUUUAUCUUGCUUAGAGCCUGAGCCUGGAUCCAAACAAAUGGGGAUGGCAAGUAUCACAAUCUCUCUCGCCUUUCGCUUCCGCUUCCGCUGCAUGUGGUCUUUGUUUUGGCGCUGGGCGUUUUUCGGUUUGGAUUCUCUCACAAUCUUUAGUUUCUUACAAGGAAUUAACAAGUUGUGUGCGAGCUACGAGGUGGGAAAAAGAUUGAGGCGUGGCUCAUGCCUGACAUAAUGGAGCGCGAGGUGUAGCUCUGCUGUGCUCCGCCGCCCAUGGAGCUGUCUCCCCGCACAUGCCUCGCUGUCUCUGCUCCGCUGCCUCCUCGUUGGAAGCCCAAACUAAAUUCUCCUCUUCUUGUUCCAAGUUUCCCUUCCAUGCAUGUGCGGAUGUGCCGCGCUUUGUAUCAUCAGGCUGGUAACAUAAAAAUAAAAAUAAAAAUAAAAAUAGUAUCAUCCAUUUUUUUAAGGAAAAAUAUAUUUAUUCAUUAGAAGCAUAGUACAUUGUUGAGCGUGAUGUCGUGGACGCUCAUAGACUGAAGAGCUCUGUGUAGGCAUAGGAUGUGGACGAACUAACACCUGUUCUUUUUUAGCUAGUGGCUAGAUUAUGAGCUACACCAUUACAAUCUCUGGGGAUAUGUUUGAAAGUAAAGGAUGGAGGAAAUCCUGCUGUGAAUUUCAUGAAGCAAUGGUCUUAAAGACCAAUGACCUAGAUUCUUGAGGAGCUUCAACAGCUUGAGCAAGAGUAAGAUUGUCAGUGAGGAGAGCGCCCGACUGAAACUGAAGUUGCUUGCUGGAACCUGCUGCUAGAAGUAGAGCCCAAGUUUCAGCUUGGAUGGGUGAGCUGCAGGGGGGAGAGGUCGCUGAAAUUUGCACCUUCAAUCUUCCAGAGGAAUAGAAGUGCUCUAUGUAGACUCCAGGACCUGCAUUAGCUUCUGAGGGCCCUGUUUGACUUCGAGAGAGCUUCUAGGCUGCAUCAGCGUAUAUGUGAGUACCUGGAGAGGAAAAACUCAAAGCCAAAUCAUUAGCAAUCUGCAGCUGCACAUUGGUCCUGUGAGAGAUCUCCAAGCUCAAAACCUAUGCAAUCAAUAAGAGCUUGAGCAGAUUUGUAUAUUUGACGAGGAGUGGAAGGUUUCCUGUUAAAGAGGCAGUCAUUACGGGCCUUCCAUAGGCACCAAAGAAAAGUAAAAAUAUUUUGAAUAGAGGCAAGAGGGUGCCCAGAUCUGAGGAUGAAAGAAAUGAUUUCAGCUAAAUUCUGGUGGUUGGCUGCUAUGGGUUCGGAGCGCAUAUGCCAAGGUGUAGAAAACCAGGCUGCUUUGGAGAAGGGACAAAGAAAGAAAAGAUGAAGCUAUGGUUCCACACCGGAAACAAUAUUUACUUAUAUGUCUAGAGUAUCUCCCAGCUCUUUUACUUGUAGGUAGGGCCUUUCUGAUUAGUCUCCAAGCAAAGAGUUGAACUCUAGGAAUAAGCUUUUUGGAGGACCAAAUCAUAUGGAUAAGAGAUAAAUCAAGAGGAGGUAUACAUUAGAGGAAUCUGUCACAACUUCCUGAACAAUAAUCCUGUAAGCACUUUUAGAAGAGCAAAUACCUGCAGAGUUGUGCUUCCAGCAAAUACAUCGUCACCGGAAGACUGCAAUAUGGGGGUAUUAAGAAUGAUAGCAGAGGCUUGGGGGACUAAAAAGAUUAUGAAUGAGUUCAGCAUUCCAAACUUUAGAACCUGGAAUCCAUAAAUCUUUAACUGAUGCUGGAUAAACAAAGCCAGAGUUUUGAAUGAUGAGAUGAUCAUGUAUAUUCUUCCAAAUGUUACACCAGGGAGUACUCCAAAUAGAAAUAUUUCCAUCUAUGAUUUGAUAAAAAUAGGAAUUUUCAAUGUGGUGACAUACCUUUAGAACUGAUGACCAAAAGGCCGACUUGGGGACUGCCCUGUUCGCUUUCCAUAUUGUAGUGUCCGGGAAGUACUUGGCCUUUAAGAUCUAGGCCAACAUGCUAUUUGGUUCCUGUGCAACUCUCCAUGCUGCUGAACAAAUGAGACUCAUGUUAGUAGCUUGGAUGUUUUUAAUACCAAGGCCUCCUUCUUUUUUCGGUUUACAAAGGUCUGACCAAGCACGAAGGCACAGAGGCUUUGUCUGAACCCUUCUUCAACACCUGUCCACCAGAAUUUUCUAAUGAUCGAAGUUAGUUUAGCAAGAAAUUUCUUGGUGAAAAGGAUGUUAGACAUGUAGAAGAUGGGGAUCGAGGCGAAGACCGAAUUAAUUAAAGUUAGCCUCCCUGCAUGAGAAAGUUUCUUAGCUUUGAAACCAUUAAGUUUCGCCCUGAAUUUAUCAAGAAUAAAAGAGUACGCAGAAGAGCGAUCUUUAGCUGGGAGCAUAAGUGGAUGACCAAGGUGAUUCGUGUCUUUGUCCAAGUCCUGUACAGGGAAAACCUGCCUGAUAGCAUGCCUGGUUUGAAGGUCAACAUUAUUACUAAAAAGAAUAGCAGAUUUUGCUCAAUUGGGGGUUUGACCCGAAGCAUUGCAAAAGGAAUCAAUGAUGGUUUUCGCAGUGUGGAUCUCAGUCAUACAAUCUUGACCACAAACCAACAGAUCAUCCGCAAAUAUAAUGGAAUGGAUAGGGGGGCAGCCGGGGCCUAGUGAUAUACCUGAGAGUUGUUGAUCUUGAAGAGCCUGAUGAAGAGAGAUUGAGAGCUCAUUAAUAGCAAGGACAAAAAGGUAUGGAGAUAAUGGACAUCCUUGUCUUAUUUCCCUGGAGCCUGAAAAUUUUGCAAAAGUCUUCCCAUUGAUAAUAAAUGAGAAGAUAGGUGUGGAAAUGCAAUUUUGUAUGAGACGAAUGAAAUGACCAUUCAACCCUCUACGAAUAAGGGCCUGAGCAAUGAAGUUCCACUCGAGACGAUCAAAAACUUUUGCAAGAUCCACUUUAAGCAUGAAAGCAGGUUGAUUCCAAGAGCUAAGAAAGAAGGAGUGAGAGAUCUCUUGGGCAAUGAUGAUGUUGUUACUAAUUCUCCUACCUUCGAUGAAAGCUUGCUGCAUGGAGUGUAUAUAAUCAGGAAGGUGGCUUUUGAGACGGUUGGCAAGAGUUUUGGCAAUAAUUUUGUAGAUUACAUUACAAAGACUAAUAGGUCUAAAAUCUCGUGGCGUAUUAGACACCAUUUUCUUAGGAAUAAGAGCAAUGUGGGUGUCAUUAAUUCUAGGGGGAAGAGAGCCAAUGGAAUAGAAGUUUCUAACCGUGGUUGUAACGUCAUCAGCAAUCCAAUCCCAAGCUGCAAGAUCAAAUGCAACAUUGAAUCCAUCUGGACCAGGGGAAGCAUUCCUUUUCAUCUGCUUUAACACCUGAAAGAUUUCUUCUCUAUCCGGAACUGAGUAAGUGAAAUCAUGUGAGGGGUUAAUUGAACUAUGCAGGUUGAGAUUAGGUUUAGGAAUUACAUUGUUAGAAGUAAAUAAGUUGCGAAAAUAAUCAAUAAAAGCUUUAGCUAUUAACUCUGGAUCAUGGUGAACCAUACCUGCAGCGUCCUGGAUAGAUAUGACCGAGUGAUGGAAAAAAGUUGUAUUCCUAUCUCCUUGCACCGUCCAAUGCUUCUUUGCUCUUUGCCUGUAUUGUUAUGUGAUUUUUGUCAUUAUUUCUUCAUAUUGCUUGGCUAGUUCAGCUUCUUGAGAGUGGAUUUGGGUUUGCGGAGGCUGUUUUUGGAUCUGAGCUAUCUGAUCUUCGAUUUCUUCAAGUUGUUGGCUCAAAGCACCUGCAAGGUUAGUAGUUCCAAAAGCAAAGUCCUUGUUAGCCGUUUGAGCCCAACAGGAUUUAGCCGUGUUCUGAAAGUCAUUCUCCAUGAGUCACCAAUUUUUAAAUUUAAAAUUCAGUUUCGGCCUUUUAAAAGCAGACUCCGUAUCAAAUAAACAGGGUCAGACAUGAAGCGCUUGUUAGUCCAAGUAUAGGCUUGACCAUUGUAACCCAUAUCAAAUAAACCGGAACGCUUGACAAUAAGAUUAAAAGCACGCAUACGAGCUCGGUUAAUGCACUGAUUACUUUUAUCCACGGGACUCAUAAUAUCGUUGAAGUCACCCAUACGGAGGACGGGAGUACCUUGGUUAUCAUACACAAAUUCUUCCACCAAGUCCCAUAAUCUUGCAGUUAAACGAUGGUUAGGAUCACCAUACAUGCAAACUAAAGCGAAAGACAACCUAGAAGUCCUACUAUAAACCAAAGCUGUUAUGAGAUGAUUGGAGGUAUGCUUAACAUUCACAUCAACUUCAUCAGUCCAUAAAAGCCACAUACCGUUAGAUCGGCCCGACGAAGGAACAACUAAACUAUCGGAAAUACCAAAAUGAUUAUUAAGAUGUGAGGGAGAGAAUUUACAGGAUUUGGUAUCAUCCAUAUGAUAUUACUCUGCGUUACUAGGGGCUUCAUUUAUUGACUUAUAAAAAACAUUAUGCCUUGAAAAAACGUUAUGUUACCGGUAUCAUAUUAUGAUACCACUGCCAUCUCUUUUUUUUAUUUAAUGAGGUGCCACAUCAUCUAAAUGCCAACGUGGUUCUGCAUGAUACUAUCUUUGUUACUGACACUAUGACCAGCCUCAUCUCCAGUGGCGUCUCCUAAGCACAAGUAAUCAGCUUUUCGACACUGCGGUUCAGAGCAAGUCCAACUGCUCUCCUAAAAUUUCUCCCCUAUAUGUCAAAAUGAGGGACUCCCCUAAAAAUAUUCUAGUCUGAAAAUUGCCCAACUCCAGCAGUUCCCUAAAAGAUCUCUAAGAAUUUUCUAUAACUACCAUUUGAAACCCAACCGUUACUUCUUCAACGGCUUGUUUUUGAACAGCUGGAUUUCUAACGGUUACUUUUCUGAUCUAUAUAUACAUGAUCAUCUCUCACAAUCUGGGAAGUACCAAUCUCGAGCUCGAUUCAGGCUUGAUCCGAACCAAAAAGCCAGAGAAACGAGGAUGGGGACGUACCUGUCGACGCGCAUGGUGGCGGGAGGGAGCGAGCGGUUGCUCCCUGGCAUGGAUAAGGGAGGCCUCCACCACCCUGAUCUAUAGGGGAGAAGGUGGUGGAUCGGGGACGCCGAUUUUUCAGGGAGGGGAUAGGGGAACUGGUUGAGAGCGUUUUUUGCCUUUUCUUCCCUAAAAAUGCUAUUGGGGAGGUGAUAAGAGAACUGCUGGACUUGCUCUUAGAACUCGGAUCAUGCAUGGUAGGCAGUACGGCCGUUUGCAAGAGCUAACAUAUUGUAUUUGUACGUGAUAUUAAAGCAAUUCAUCCAAAAGUUAUUGGGAUAUGAGCAUCAUUGAACGUUAGGAAGACAAAAUUUAUCAAUCCUAGUAAUACCUAGAAAAGUAGGGUAACCAAUCCCACAACACACAAAGGUAUAGAAGUAUAUUGAGUCAAAUGAUGUUUUGAACACAAGAAAACAUUUUAUUUGUAAGCAAUUUUAUAUUGUCGGGCAAUGGAUCAAAUGGUUGUAAACAUACUGAUUGAAGUUUGUACGUCAUAUUAGCUUAAUAUCAUAAAUUAAAGUUCUGAUCACUUGCCAGCCACAAAGUUAAAGUUCGCAUCCAAAUUGGUCCAACGGUUGUUUACACUGAUUGGUUGUCUGUAUGUUUGUAGUAGUAGGUAGAAUUUUCUAUGGUUGUAUAUCAUAAUAGUACAAGAUUAUUGUCUUAAUGAAUAUUCUGUUGAUACUUGAAUUAAAGCUCAAAUUGCGACCUAUUCGCUCUUCUAACUUUGCAUGUUUGGUUCGCUACCUCAUGAGUCGCUCCUCGCUUGCGUAUGAUAUAAAAUUAGUAGCAGGAGUUAACAUUAUGGAAUCAUGUGUAGUCCAUAUCUUAGCAAUAAUAUGUUGACAAGUAGAUUUAGAGUUUUCAAAUAUCUUUAAUAAUUCAUCCUUACAAAUUUAUAGAUUAUGAUAAAUGGAGUUGCACUUGGUACUUCCUAAAAUUCUCAUGGUUUACGAAGAACCUGAUCUUUUCGACUUAUUGAUCUGAAGCCCUUAAUUGAGUUUUUUAUUUUGGCUUUCAGAACCGAUUUUUCCGGAAAAGCUACCCUUUUCCAACUUCCUAGAAAAUCAGUCACCCACAGGCUUCCAAACAAAUUUAGAAUAAAAAUAUAAAAUAAUUUAGAAGCAUAACCAAGUUUCGGGUCGACUUCUCUAGAAAGCUUUAGAGGAGUGUAGUUUAGUGGCAAAGCCGUGGCUGUGCCACCUACGGCAUCUACCCCCACCGCAGGAACCACACAUUUCGGAGAGAGAGAGUAUUAGAGAAAGAUGAUUAACAAAAAUGUAGUACUUGUGGCAGACUUAUUAAUGCUUUUGUGUCAGAUUUUUCUUUCCCUUUUAGACUUGACCACUACCAAUUUUUCGUAUUUUCUUUGCUUCUCUUUCUCCUCUCUUCUUUUGUUGCUCAAAUUUUGAAAGACGAAAUAAUUUACUCAUGGGACAUAUUUUAGUGAGUCAUGGUACAUAUACAACAAAUGACGGUACAUUGAUCGUUUCUUAAUGUACCCAUCGGUACUAACGAGAGUACAUGACAGUACUCAAAUCACAGAAUGAACAUCUACCAAAAGAAGACGAGUACCUCUUCAAUACUUAGUUGUACGUGAUGGUACUCAAAUCAAAGUACAUCAACUUAUAAUUGUACAUCAUGUACCGGGAAAUAAAAACACAAACAUUCAUCAAAUCAUAGUAUCUCGUCAUGUACGAUUCAUCAAAAUUUAGUACCUCAUGUGUAAAUAGUGUGUACAGCAACUCAUAAUUGUACAUCAUGGACCAGAAAAAUAUCACAGCUCAAACAUUCAUCAAAAAUUAGUACCUCGUCAUGUAUCCAUGGUACAUGAUGGUACUCAAAAAUUAUAUCACAAAUAUGAUAAAUACCUUAUCAAUUUGUGAUGCGAGUACAUCGAUCCACAACAAAAAUACAUAGAAAAAAAGAAAUAGGCAGCAAACUACGAACUUUUCAGCUAGCUAGCAGGCAAAUGCAAGUACCAAAUACUCAUCCCAUGUACCAAAUAGACGUGAACAAGAAAAAUGCAAGUACCAGCUAGGUACAUCAUGUACUCAUCACAUGUACUCAUCCCAAAUAGUAGCACAUACAUCAAAUUCACACCAGAAAUCCCAAAAGGGACGAGGAGGACGCGUGGCCUGGCGAGGGAGAGCACGAAGUGGUGGCCGAGCACCGGGAGUAGCAGCGGUCGCGGCGUCCCGACACGCGGAGCAGCAGCUCGCAGCAUGGGGAGCAGAAGCUCGCGGACCAGCACCUCGCGGCACAUAGAGCAGCAUUACGCGGAGCAGCAGCUCGGCAGGAGCCCGUCCCGUGCCGGAUGGGGACGGGAUGGAGGAGGAGGAGGCGGGGCCGCAAGCGCCGCAGCAACGGAGUCGGUCUUCCCUGCCAUGGCACUUGGGCUCUUGCUGGACGAAGAAAGAAGAAGGGGAGAAAAGAGAAUAGAGAACAGAGAGAGACGAGAGAGGAACGGGAGAGGAAGAACGUGGGUGCCAAGGAUUAGCCAAAAGUACAUAGAGAUUAAGAAGUGAAAGUGAACACGUGGAUGUAGAUAGGUGGGUUGGUACCGGGAGGUUUGGCGUUUAGUGGAGUACCUGUGCCUAAGCAAAAGUGGAGUAAGAAAAACCAGAGAAAAAUGAGUAUUUUAGAUCUUGAGAGAGGAUUUUUUUUCUUUGCCUCUCUUGAUGAUGGACAGCUCCGGCGCGGCGGCUGCUGCUACGGCGGCGGGACGGACGCGCGCGCGGUGGUGCUACUGCCGUUGCUUCCGGCGGUGGGGCCGCUGCUUCUGCUGCUGCUACUGCUGCAACUCCUUCCCCACCCAGGACGACCUCCGACGCGACGCGACGCCGCCGCCUGGCCCCCGCCUCUCCCUGUAGCUAGGGUGGUCUCCAGGUUCCACUCCCAUCCCAGGCACCCAGGCUCUGCUCCUUCUCCCCGCUAAUCACUCGUGUGACUCACGUGCCUCGUCGAUUCGGGCGUGCGCCUUCUAGUUGGUGUGGUGUAGUCAGCAUGAUUAGGUUGUUAGUUUGUUAUUCCGCUUCCGCGUGCCUGUCGCGUGAUCAUGGCGGGAGAUUUUGCUUCGGUUUGCUCCAGAUCGUCGUAGCUAGCAGCGUGGUGUGUCGUCGGGCGUUGCGUGAUGUCCACGGGCGGCCGGAGGAUCGCGUGAUCGCGUCCAGGCUAGCUGCUCCUCUGCUCUGCCGGGAUGGACCAGUUUGUUAGUUCAUUAGGUGCACUCUGCAGGUGAUCACUAUGUUAAUCUGUGCACGACCUUCUCAUGCUUGAUUAGUUGAUCUUUGUAAUAGGGAAGAUAUGCAGUUGAUUGUGUAUUGCUGUUGCGUCGGGCUUGUUUCGGCACCAGUGUGUAAACUAACUGAAUUCAGUAAUCAGUAGUGAACUGGGUCGGCAUUCCAGUGUGAAUUGCGCAGACUAACAGGUGAUCUUGUGAUUUGAGUAUGGCCGCGUGUGGGGGGUUCUAGUUCUUGUAUUCCAAAUCUUGCUCUGUUUGUAUGACAAAGAAAUGAAUGGAUAUUAAUUGGGUGUUUUCUGUUGCCUAUAAAACCACUCUGUGCCAUUCCAGAUUUGUCGCUGAUUACUAUUUGAACUAGUACUCUGCCAUGAUGCACUCUGUGGUUGAGCAACAAGUGUAAAUUCAAAAGAUUGUAUUAAUUUGAUCAAGAGGAAGUCAUUGAUGAUUGCUCUUGGCUGAUGGUACAGAUAGAAUAAUCUAUGUGUCAUUAGUUGUGAUUAUACUUUAUUUGAGUGUGCAUGAUUUACCUUCUUAACUGUUAUUAGCGCUGUAAAUUCAGUUCAUUGAUAAUAACACGAAGUUAUCUGUUGCUUCUACUAGUAUCAUGAAUUUAAUUGUUUCUGCUACUGGUGACAUAACCUAUAUGUUCUUGACAAAAGGCACUGGGCGCUGAUACGGUAAAAAAAGCAUUUCAUUGGGCAGAUACGGUAAAAAAAAACAUUGGGCGCUAAUUUUACAUGUUUUAGAUAGUUCUAAGCAACAAUCCAUUUUCUUAGCUUAAUGUCCUGCUUUCCGUGUUGGGUUUCCACAAAUGUUUGGUUUGACCUUCAUUUUGUUCAUUUAAUCAGGUUCACUUUUCGUUUACACAUAUGCGAACCAUGAGGAGAACUGUAUCAGGUUUUGUUGCUAUAGUUCACAAAGAAGUGCAAAAGACGUGAAACUUCAUUAGUUGUUUGGCUGGUUGCUAGACAAAUAUAUACUCCCUCGGUCCCUCAAAAAAGUGACGUGGAUUUGUAUUCCGGACGGAGGAGUACUUAUGUUGCAGCUAGACUAGUAGGCUGUUUGGAUUGGAAGUAAUCUAGUUUAGUUAGAAGUCCAUGACUAAAAUUUUACUACCAUGUGCAAUAACAGGGACCAAUUGUGCUUAUAUCUAUAUCAGUUUGCUAAACCAGAGGUGAAUGCUUCUUGGAACAUACAUUGAGUACUUUAAGGCAUAUGCUUGAACUGUAUAUAAGGUAAUUUCAUGUGCCCCUUUACCGUACAAUGCUUGAAUUACCUGUAUAUAAGGUAAUUUUAUGUAUAUAAGUACAUAUUGAUCAUCCUUGUACAAUCAUACUGCUCCUCUCAGUGUGCAACGGCUGUUUAGCCUGCUAUAAAUUCAUCUGGGUUUUGCUGGAGAUCGACAUUUUAAUUUGACUUGUCAUUAAUUGAGCAAUGCUCAUUCUGUUUUCAUUUUGUUGCAAUUGGCAUAAUUGCAUCCCUGUAAAUGCCAUUUUCAGAUCUAUCCUGGCAUAUAGUCAUGUACUUCCUCCGUUCCAUAAAGAUUGGGGCGGCUUUUUUUUUUUUGAAACGGAGGCUAAAGCUUUGCCUCAUCAUAUCUUCUAUAUCUAAGUAGAAAUCUCCCACUACCUAUUUUUCUCAACAUGCAAGCAUGUCACAUCAAACCAUGCCACCUUAUCAAGUCAUGCAUGACUUUCUUUUUUUCAAGCCAUGCAUGUAUUCAUUUACAAUUUUUGCAUUUAAUUAUCAAUUCAAGCAUCUCACCUCAUCAAUUAAUUCAAGUACUCACUUCAUCCUGAAAUAAUUGACGUGGAUUUGUAUAUUUUCAAGCCAUGCAUGUAUUCAUUUACAAUUAAUGCAUUUAGUUAUCAAUUCAAACAUAUGUCACCUCAUCGCUCCAUCCUGAAAUAAGCCUCUAUUUCAGGACGAAGGGAGUAUUAAUUUUUUGGGAAAAAUUUAUCUCUCUUUAUACAUAAUUUUGUCACGAAAACCAUGCCACCUCAUCAAAAUCAUGCAUGACAUUUUUUCAAGCCAUGCAUGUAUUCAUUUAUAUUUUUUCAUUAAUCUAUCAAUUCCAACCGUGACAUCAAUUUAAUCAUAUCUUCCUUUUUUUAAAAAUUGUUCCCUUUAUAUACAUCAUUUUGUCACGUACUCGUUCUGAUCCUAAAUUCUUGACUCAAAUUGUUUUUGACCAAAAACAGGAGGAGAGGCUACUACUGCUGUAUAUAUUAUAUAUAAAUAAUAUUUACAUAUUUACAAAUGUACAAAUAGGGGCAUUCUCCUAUUUUAUUCAGAAAAGAUCUAUCAAACUAGUAAGAGAAGGAGAAAGGGAUUGAGGCACCCUACAGCCUAGUAGAGAUAAAUCUGAUUUGAACUUUACUAACCAACCCUGGAAAUUGGCUCUCUCUCCCUCGAAAAUGAGUUUAUUUCUAAUUUUCCAGAUAUUCAAAGCAGCUAACGAAAACACCUCAAAAAAGAGAGGGUCAUUAAAUCUUCUUUUGAUCUCAGGAAGAGCUUCAAUGCAGGUAGAAUUUCUUGGCCAGUUUAUAUCAAUGUGUCUCCAACACCUUUGACUGAAUGGACACUCCAAGAAGAGGUGAUUCAAGGUUUCUUCACAUCCAGUGUUGCAAAGCACACAAUUCAAACUUGAAUCAAUAUUAAAGUGUCUCCUGGAGAGCAUAUUUCUGGUGUUCAAUCUGUCACUAAGAAGAAGCCAAGCAAAAACCUUCACCUUUAGAGUAUUUUUAGAUUUCCAAAUCCACUUAAAAGGGGCAGGUGUGAUGAUCCUGGAGUAACAAAGCUUAUAGAAUUUGCUUGAUGAAAAGGUAGUACCCCAAGAUGGCAGCCAAAGAUCAUUUCUGAGAACUGAAAUAUCAGCAUCAAUUAUUAACUCAUCCAGGACAUGCAUUUGCUCAAGAGCUUCUGGAGAAAUUGGAGUUAAAAAUCCUGCAGCAACUGAGCCAAGGUUGCAAUAUUUCUUAAAAAGCGUCUAGAUACAUGUAAUAUUUCGAUAACAAUUUAGGAUCGGAGGGAGUACUUCUUAAAUUUAAUUGUUUUAAAUGUAAAACAAGAACACUUUAUAUUUUUUUCCAUUAGGUUUAGUUAAUUUUAAACAUAUAUUUAUGCAUUUGUAUUAAUACACGGUUCCGCGGCAACGCGCGGGUCAUCAUCUAGUUGAUUAAGAAAGAGUGUUACAAGAGAAUAACAAAACAAAAUCUAGCCAAACCGGCACAUGAACGAACUACUCUCGCGGUAAGAAAGAUCUCAAAUCAAUGGCACCCGCAACCCCCCAAGUAGAGGCCUCCCUUUUAAUUUUACUUGCGACGACCAUGGGCAUAGAGAAGAUCUUCCAGAACACCCUCGCGUUUCUUUCAUUCCAAAUCUCCCAAGAAACAAGCAUCACCAAAGUGGCCAUGCCUUCUCGUCGAUUCCCUUGAAUGUUGAUAACGGAACACCACCAAUCCUUGAUCGAAUUAAAGCUUGACCAAUGUAACAAAUCAAUAUGAACGAGACCCAACCAAUCUCUGAUCAUUCGCCAAACAUUCAACGAGUAACGACAUUUGAAGAACAAAUGAGCCGCAGAUUCCUGCUCCCUCUUGCAAAGCUGACAAAGGUUGCAGUUAGGCCAUCCUCGCCGCUGCAGCCGGUCAGCUGUCCAAACCCGAUUCUGAAUAAUGAGCCACGCAAAAAGUUUGCACUUUGGUGGCGCCCAAUUCUUCCAAACAGCAGCCUUCAUAAUUGAACCGGCGGUUCCUUCAAAGUGAGCUCUAUAUGCCGAGGCCGCCGAAUAAACCCCAGAGGCACAGAGACUCCAAGUGAUGUCAUCCGGAACAGGUGCACGGCCUGCAAUCUUCCCCACAGAUCAAGAAUUUGAUGAGAUGCUGCACUGUGAGACCCUCAGAAAUAUUGAUGUUGCUAAUCCAGAGAUUAUGGCCCAAAGCUUUUUUGACACAUGAAUUCUUCAGCUUUGAAAUUGCAAAGAUGGAAGGAGUUGGGCUUGCGCCCUCCAAUCCAAAGGGAGUGCCAACCUUUAUGGAAUGGAAGAAGUAGCUAAUCUCUCUUCAGAUUUGUACAUAAGAAGUGUAUCAUUUGUCAUAUUUCUGUACUGAACUGCAAAAUAUGGGGACGGAGAGAGUAGUAUUUUUUAUGAACAAAAAUGAGAAACAAGAAACGAAAAGGUUGCUUCUUGUCAUGACUUGGCAAGCAAAGCAAAGCACCGGUUUAAGCAGGCAACACCAUGGCGCGCGAACAGACGCAGAGCUGUCUAUCUGUUGUUGCACGGAGACGGGGAGAAAGCGAAACGAGGAAGGAACUGCAUGCGGGGGCAUUGGAUAGCUGCUGCUGCUUCCACCCUUUUCCUAUUUCGUUGCCUAGCCUGUCUCAUGUGUCCCUACCUCCCAAGUUGUUCACUUACACAGACAGACACGCCUUCUUUCAUUUUUCCCAACUAGUACUGCUAUUGCCCAUCACACGCCUCUGUUCAGUCAUUCUCGCACCACCUCUGACCUCCCUCAACCACUGCUCUGGCUACUUCUUUUAUGCUUAAACUGCACCUUCUGCUGCAGUUCUGAUACUUGGCUGUGUAGAGUCUAGACUGAGCUCCCUGAAAGCUGAAACUCUGAAACAGACCAGCACCUCAGCUCCAUCCCUUCAUGUUUGCUCUGCAAGCAGCAUCAAGCCCAGAGCAUGCAUCUGAGCCAAAGCAACUGCUCGCUCAACUUUGACAUGGUCAAUACAGCACGAAAAGCCUUUAGCAACUUUUUUCCUUUGUCCACUUUCUGGCCGGUGCAAGUACUGUUUUUGCCGGAGUCAACUUUGUACGUCAUGGAGGAGUGGAUGUGGAGGGGAAGAUCUUUCCAUGCCAGAGAGAUCUCCCUCCUGGCCGGGGUCAACAAGCGGAUAUGGAUUCCAUCCGGACAAAAAAAAGCUUCAACCUGCAGCAAAUACUUUCAGUUCCGAUUCUGUCGUACAGGAAUGGGGGAGAUCGGAUCAGGUCCCUAUCCGUCCUACUUUGUCCCUCCAUCCAUUCGUCCGUCCACUAGCACUUGUAUGAUCCAUUCAUUCCUCCCCUGUUCCGCCGGAAGGGCGUCCUAGAAUCAAACUGUUCCGAGCUUUUUAGCCAGAUCUCUCUUCGAAAAGUUCACACCACAUCUUUUUUUCCUGUUAUUAGUAGCUUUUCUGUUGCUCUGAAAAGAGGCUAGUGGUAAUUGACUUGUUGCCCAACAUCUUGGUUCCUGGGGAAAAGGAAAGGAAUGUACAGCCGGUCAAUCUUUGUACAGGAGGCCUAGAGGAAUUAUCUUUCGGCUAGACAAGAUAUGUGAGAAUUGUUUAUUUCUGAAGAUCGUUAAUUACAGUACAGCAGGUUAGGUUAGCCUUAAUCAUGGAUGGGUACGUACUCCACUGUACAGCGCAAACUGGAAGAAGAAGUUAAAAGCAUCUUUUCCCCAUCCAUUUCGGGUGCCAUUUAUGAUCAGACAAGCAUGUCCAACUGUUAUGAACUCGGCAGGCAGCAUUUGGUCGAUCGGUCGGGAACCCCAAACAAAGAAAGAAAGAAACACACAAGGGUGGUGGAAGUGGAAGAAGCAGAGCCGGCGGCGCCAUUGACGAGUGAGUGAGUCCGUUAAGUUAGUUGCUGCCGCUGCAGAGGUCGAGCAGCUUCUUCCUCCCCUCGACGAUCUCGUCGAACAGGUCGUCGAUGAGCGCCACCAUGUCGUCGCAGCCCGACCGCAGCGUCCCGGCCCACUGGGCCACCUCCUCCGCCGCGGCGCCCGCCCCGCUGCCGCCGCCCCUGUCCAUGGCGUCCUUGAGCUGCUCCACGGCCGUCCUGGCGCGCCGGAACUCGUACAUCAUGGCCCCCGCCGCGGACGCCCUGUCGGCCUCCGCCGCCGCCCGCUGCUGCGCGCGCGACAGCGCCGACGCGAACGCCGGGCCGAAGUGGGCGCCGCCGCAGUCCCCAGGAGCAGUGGAGCCGGCGCGGGAGGAGGGCGAGUAGUGGAGCAGGCCCCAGGAGAGGAGCGUGAGGAGGAAGGAGGCGAGCAUCCUGGUGGCGCAGAGCACGCCCCGGAAGCCGUUGAAGCCGCUGAGCGCCUUGGCGGCGUCCGGCGGCACGCCCUCGCUGAGGCGGAGUGCGAGCUCCUCGCCCCGCGUCUCCACCAGCGCCCUGUUCUCCUCCUUGAGCGCCGACGCCUCCCUCCUGCACACCGAGAUCGCCCGCGUCACCUGGUCACAAAUUAAUCACCGAUUCGAGCCAUUAAUUAACCAUGGCAUGAUGCAAUGCAAAGGUUAAUUGAUCGAUCGAAUUGGCUUGCCUGGCGGGAGAGGUUGGGGCUGGCGCCUGAGGCGGAGGUCUGGAGGAGGGAGGCGGCGUGGGCGGCAGAGGCGGAGAAGGCCUCGAUGGCGGCGGCGCCCAGGCGGAGCGCGGCGCAUGCGUCGCAGAGGCGGGAGGUCUCGUCCAUGUACUCGUCGAGCCAGGCGGCGCCGCCGGGGAGGUGGAGGGAGGCGACGAGGCGGGUGAGCCCCGCGUGCGCCGCGCGGAGGAGCGCCAGGGCGGCGCGGAGGGACGGCAGCGAGAGGAAGGACCCCGACGCCAGGGAGCGGUCCAGGUCGUCCAGCCCCCGGGCCAGCGUCGCGUAGAAGGCGGCCGCCGUCGAAGAGGACGGCUUCAUCAGGGCUAUACCGGCAGUCCGUGUUUGUGGGAAGCCAGAGAGAGAGAGAGAGAGAGAUGAGCUGUGCUGUGUGCCCGUGUGUCGUAAUAAUGGCGCGGCGCGAAUGCAACCGUGCGGUGGGGGAGGAGGACGAAGGCGACCUUGUUCUUACUCCCAAGACAACUAGGCAAGCCAAGGCAAGGUGAAAGCGAUGUGUGGAGCUAGCUUAGGCUGCCCCUCUCUUUCAUGUGGCCAUGGAGGCUGGCUGGUCCAAGAGAGCGAGAUGGGAUGGCGAAUUGGCGAUGGGAAGAUGGAAACUCUCUGUGGGGCUAGCUGUGCCUUAUAUAGGGCCGGCAUUCUGCUAGCUACGGCCUGGAGUAAUACGGCGGGUGCCUACUGUGGAGUAUCAGCCAGCCGGAGCCGCACACGCGCUUGCCCACGGACGGACAACGGCAGGCAGAGUCGGUGGGUCGCAGGAGACCGUGAUGAGUCUUUUGCGAAUUUCUAACUUGAUUUAAACUUGUGAGACUUCGUUAAGAUAUCGAGUAAAAUAGACAUGAAUCCAUAGACUCUAACGAAAUAAACAUUUUAGCCCACGAACUCACAGAACGCACACCUAAGUCCAUAAAGUGUAACACUUUGGUCCAGAAACGGUUCGGCCAGACUAAAACGACGUGGCCGUCACAUCGGCUAAGGGCAGGACGGGGGGUUGGUACCCCUCUGUCUUAGGGUGUUCUUUUUUGCAUCCAAAGGGAGAUUAGGAGACGAACGGUUCGGCUUCCGCAUUGCGUUCGUGCGCUCUGCUCUGCCUCUCUCCCCCUCGACGCAUCGGGGCGAUCAAGAGAAGUAAAGAGUAGGAAGAAGAAAGAAAAAGAUGAAAAGACCAUCCUACCCUUCUGAGUUUGGGGAGGGGGGUGUAUUGAAUUGGGCCUCGAUGCAAGUAGAGCCCACAUUUAAUUUCGACUGCUGAGAGUUGGCUUCAUGCCUUCAUGUCUAGACCCCGAAACUUUUGCUCUGGUAGAGUUUAGAGCGAUCGCCAUAAUGGAGGUUUAGAGCAAAUUGCAGGAACAUCCUGCCCAAAACUCGUACCACAUUGCGUUGCAGCAUUUUUUUUUCCGAUGUGUAGCAUUCAUUUCAUAGGAAUUGAGGUGCUAGAUUCCUAAGGACUGAUCCCAGAUUGAUCUAAUUCCUCAGUGUAGAUUAGGUGAGACCUCAUUUAAAAUUUCUAAGGAUUGAAGUGUACAUGACAUUUCAAUCCUCUACUUUUUCCAUUCCUAUGAUUCUAAAAUCCUACAAACCAAAUAGGCUCUCCAUCUACAGCAGCACUUAGAUCUCCGGGAUCUUAUUCCGAUUCCAUACGUACUCAACAUCGUGUAGUACAAGCGAACUGAGCCUAACUCAGGUGGUUGGUUCCUUGUGGUGGAACCAGCCCACCAAAGUUCAAGUCCCAGACUUGGCAUGGGUGCUCGCAUUUCCUGAAUUUAUUCCAGGCUUUAACCGGCGUUGUGCUUUCAGUGGGAGUGACGUACCCGUCAACUACGAGGCGCCUGUGGUGAUUUCGUCAAUCUCAAGAUGAUCAGCCAGUGGAUCAGUCUCUCGGAGGUGCUCAUUGGAGGUGUUCAUUGGGGUAGGGUGUGCGUGCGUGCGUUCAUAGGGAUGAGUAUACGUGCUUGUGUGUGAGUGCUUGCGUCUGUACUGUGUUUUCUAAAAAAAAAACAUCGUGUAGUACAAAGGUACAUUCUCCUGCUUCUAAAUAGUUGCAGAGAUAUGCUGAUCUUAUUUGACAAUAUAAUACCACUCUUUGAUUGGCAAAUACUAAUAUAUACAUCGCCGAUCGUAAGUACGUACAUUCUCAUUUGAAUAAAAUGUUCUUUAUCUUGUGAUGGGAUCGACAUGAAACGUCUGAACAUAAUUAAAAGUGAGUCCAUGUCUUCACUAACCUACACUACUUGCAUAUAUUGCCGCCUUCUUCUCCUCCUCUUUUCUUCUUUUUAUGACAAAAACAUAAUCAAAAGGUGCCUCUCAGGUUUCAAAAGGUCCUAAAAGUUCCCAAUGGUACAUGUAAAAAUGUUUUCCUUUUUGGUACGUAGAAAUAAACAAAUAUGAUCAUUAUGUACCUGUGCUCUAAAAAAAUAUUGACCACUAAAUUUGCUUUUUACAAAACUCAUCGUUUUCUGGUAAUAGAUGAUCACAAACAUGCAUGGGUAGAAAAAUAUUAACAUUUGAAAAAUUGUCUUUCCCGUGGGAGCGCAACUUUGAAUUAACCUUAUCUACCACCCAACUACAAGAGCGACGAACUGGCCCUCACAGAAUGAGUAAACAUUUAGAAUUGUCAAAAGUUUCUAGCACAUGAACAUGUAUCAUGUAUGUGCGUUUUGUGUGCCGCCAAUUUUUUAAUUUUAAGGCCGGCAAAAAUAUUAAUGAAAUGGAACCAUUUUGCACUCAGGGCUGAAAUACACUCUCAUUAAACAUUUUCACACAAGGCACAAAACUUAUUAUUUGUUUCCACCAAAAAAAUUUAGGGACACCAAAGACACGAAAAUGUGAAUAUGCAACAUCCAACUAUUACACAAUAGACAUUUUAAAAAAAUCACUCAGGAGUGUUUGCUAGUUUUAGCUCAUCAUUUUGUUAAAUUUCUGCAGCCCACGCAUGAAUUUUUCAUGAAGUCUUAAAGACUCAUAAUUUGGAGCUGUACCACUAAAUUGGCACACUUGCUUCUGUUUCCCAGGAACCUGGAUUCUUGAGAAGUAGUGGCAGUGGUUAUGGUAGGCUAGAAACAACAUUGAUUGAUUCUAAAGAAAAGGUCGUUGAUUGUAAUAUCGAAAUGAUUACAUGGAUGCCGAAUUGCUGAUAGCUUUCAUUUCAUUUCACUUCUGUUCCCAUUCAAUCCCAACGAUCGAUGGCAAUGUUGAAUAUAUCAGUGCAAUGUGUUCACGGUGGUUUAUUACCGAGACUAAUCAUCUGUUCCUCUUUUCAAGACUUUGGAAUAAUGAUUCACCAUUCUGUUUGGGAAUCAUGAACUAUGUGACCACACGGAUCAAACAAGUUUCUUUCUUUUUGUUCCGAUCAAUCACUCGCUCAAAACCCCUACUAAUUCCCUUGAGAUCCUUGGGAAUUGAAGUAGGGGAGGGUGCGUAAUGCGCUGCAUCAAAUCCAUAUCUUGAACCACUGUGUAGAUCUUCUUUUCAGAUUCUCCCUUGGCCCAAGCUCUCUGCUUUGUCCUCUGGCAAUUGAUGCAUCUUAUUGGAAUCCUCCUGUUUUUUUAUGUGCAUAAUAGUUAUCUGGCACUUCCUUUGGGGCCUUUACAUAUUCCAAGCGUAAUAAAUAUGUUAUUAUUCGGUCAAAAUAAAAUAAACACUAUGCUACUACGCUAGUCUAUUUCAAACUUGAAUAAAGAAAAUACUCAUAAGGAGUGUAUUUCAAUUGUAAGCUGCGGAGCCUACUCGGUUUUGUUUGAAGCUAACACUUUUAACAAGUUCCCAACAAGUGUUUUUUUUUUCUCAACUGAACUGAAAUACUCCUUCCAUUUGUAAAUAGAUGACUCUUUUUACAUUUGCAUGGUCUUCAGUAUAUAACUUAGGCUAUAUAUAUGAACUUUUCACAUGAACAAAUAAAAAAAAUAUAAACUUACCAUACCAUGAAAAUAUUUUCCGUAACCAAGAUAGCAUGAACAUGUGAGCAAUCUGAAUUCAUUUUCAUAUACUAGUAUUCAAAGUGUGAGAUGGAUAAUAUUGAUUCACUUUUCCAAUAGAAAUUAUGCAGGGUUCUACUUUCGUUACGGAAUCAAACACACAUGAUUGUCUGAAGGAGUGAUCUUUUUCUCAAAAAUACUACUACUAUUGCAUAUUUUAGGCAUUUUCAGUAUAAUUCCAAUGAGAACUUUAUAAUAUAGGCACAGCAGAUCUAUAAUUACAUGUUCUCUUAGGUUGGUGUUCGUGGGUUCUUGGAGAAUGUGAUGCCCGGACUCGGAGGAAGGCAUGUUGGUCCUCCACGAAGAUCUCAUUAUCUACUUGAAAAGCCUAGUCUUCAGCACACUCACUCACCACUUUAGGCUGUCCUCUAGUUAUAUUUUGAGUUUUUGACGAUGGUCUUCCAACUGAAAAAAAGAAAGAAAAGGAAGCAUAUUUUUUUUAGAGACCAGCAUACUAAUUUAUUCUGCCGGUCUUGAUUUCAAGCUAAGCAAUGUGGUCACUCCUCAUUUGAUAUAUUAUCUUCUUCUUCUUUUUCCAGUAUCAAGGCAGUAGCACUAUCUUUUUGUAAGGUGUUGUCUUGCCUUAACUCUAGUAACAAUAGCAGAGAAGCAAGUAUUCUUUUACCAUUAUGAUUCUUAAUCAGCUUUCAUCUCAACUCAUGACUUCAAAUCACUUAUCUGAUUCUUUAAUUGAACUAUGAUAUGUUUUCUGAAGUUUCAAAUAUCAUACGCAUCAUCAUCAUAAUCGAUCACUUUUUCCUGUGGUACCUCCUGUCAAUGCUGUAGUAUCGACAUGGUUGAAGAAAGGGAGUCCAUAUGUCAGCAUCUCAGCUCUUCUCCCCCCUCCUCCAUCUUUUAUCUGCAAGUGUUCCUUACCCAUUACAUAACUGCAAGAAAAGCUUGGACAGAGCCUACCUAUUCUGAGCUGAGCACAAUGGGUCCCAAGAAAUUUAUUUGGAGUAUCUAAUAUGCAUAUCAUGUGCAAACUCAGCAUUUUUGGAUGGUGCAAAACCAUCAGAGAUAUAAAUAACAUACUAAUAGUACUAGCUAGAUGCAUGAGCUUUGCUAGGGAUAAAAAUGUACUCCAUCCUUCCCAUAUUAAGUGUGGCAACUUUAUCUAGAUAUGCAUAUAACUACACAUUAAAAUACAUAUGAAUAUAUGUAUAUUUGGUAAGUAGACAAAGUUACAACACUUAAUAUGAAACAGAGACAGUAUAAUGUUAUAUUAGGUUCAGCUUGACACCAAACCUUCACACACAGUGCCCCUCAGUCCACAACUGUAUAUAUAUCUAGCCGUGGCUCUGUGACACGUGACAUAUUCCAAUUUUUGCAGUAGAGAUGUAGGUGGUGGGAAGUGGUGAAAGACGUGGACUAACCACGAGUGGUGUUUCUUUAACAUUCAGCAUGCUUGUAAAUUUUCAUCCAGAAAAAAAAAAUACUUUGUUUCUACUCUCUCCGGUCCACAACGAGUGUCAAUGAUUUAGUAUAAGAGUCUUUCAACAUUUAACAAACAACUUUGUACUAAGUCUCUGACACUUAUUAUGGAUGGGAGGGAGUAGAAGAAAAAAACAAAUUUCAUGCUUCUGCAUUAAGCUCAAAAUGAUUCUUUUACACGAGCAUUUACCAAAGGCAGAUAUACUGACAUGUAUAUUUUUUUUGUAACUUUUAGAUUAAGAAACAAAAAAAAACACUCAAGAGGGCUGCGGUGCGGAAUUACCAAGAACAACCACCCACUCUCAUUAAUUUAUGGUAGUAAAGAUCAUUCGGAAAGCACAAUUUUAGACUUCUAGUCAUACCACUGAGACACCUCUCGAUUAUAGGCAGUACGAAGGCAUCUAGUACGGAGGCACCGUAGAUUCCACAUCACGUGUGUCUCAUUAAUACAGACUAUCCUUAUGGUAGUAGAUGAAGUAUUUGUUGAUAACGAGGUGUCAGUGGUGAUGUCAUUAAUCUCAAGACUACAUGAUUCCGUUCUCUGCCCGCUUUGUAUGAAUGUGCGCGCAUCAUUGUAAGUGGUGUUUCAAGUAAAGGAUAUACACGAUAGGUAUAAUUUAGGGAGACCUACCUGUCGGUGGCUGGUACUAGUGACAUUUUUAUUAUACAGUUCUCCUCCCUUCCGAUCCAUAAAGGGUUGAGGUGACUUGCACGAUCGUUGGUCUUACUGUUACAAGCUUAAUUUAGGAUAGAUAGGUCAAGAAUGACCUUUUGGGAAUUCUCACAAUUUUUUUCACCCUUUCACAUUCCUAGCAGCUAAGCCAGCGAUGUGUCCUGUGUGAUCUCACAUGUGUUCUUCUUAUUCUUUUAUUCUCUUUUGGACAACGGCCACCUGAAACAUUCUUAAGAAAAUAUUGGCUGGCUCUACAUCCUGAACUGUGCCCUUUUCUGAUAUGCUUUUUCUUUGCAUGAUGGGGUCUUUCUCCCUCACUCGGCUACCUACCUAGCUUUGCUUUCGGUCUAGAAAUUAGCCAGGAAAUCUUACCGAAAUCUAGAGCAGCCGAAUCCACCACUGACACUGAUUACCUUGGAAUCUCCAUAAUGCUCAAAAUUCGCUAAUCAUGCUGCCCACACCCACCACACCACACCGCUAGGUCCCCUGAAAACGCUGCCAGCCGAUUUUCAAUGACGGCGACCGGUACGGUCUUCGUCCUCGUCACCGGCGUCCUUGUCAGUCGUCCUUUCCGGUAGGAUAUCAGGCGAUCAGGGUUUCAAGGGGGGCUGAAGAUUGCCAUAAAAAAUGUGCCUGUGCUUGCUUCACUUUGUGCCACUAAAGAGAAGCGCGGCUCCCUGAAGAGGUCCAAUGUACCAUCAUUCCAUUCCUGACGUUUCUUAAGUUGGAAGCAUUUUGCAUCACUCUUUUGGAAGAAAGCAAAGGGAGAAGAGAUGUGUUCGGUUUGGGUUGGGCCUUUGUUUAUGUCAACCCGUUCGGGGGGUUGCGUAAUCGCGUGCGCCGGUACUGUUUAAGGAUGAACAGGUCACACUAGUCCUGAUUAAAGAUGGGAUUACAAUCAUAGGGAAGCAACCUUUCUGGUGCAAAAAAAGGAGUGGCUUUCUUUUGGGCAAAUGAUGGUGAUGCAUGGUUUCCUUCUUGCCAGGUUAGGUUAAGAUCCUCAACCUGCCAGGUCACCCAAUGAUUGAAUGGAUGAUCAUUGAUCAGCAAGGAGGAAUAGAAUGAGAGGCACAAUCCCAUCAGAUAAAAGCAAUCUUCAUCUUUAGGAGUACCAUCAUAAGCCAAUGAUUAGAUCUCAACUUAACAAGGAAAACUUUGUGCAACAAAAUGGUACACUGAUUAUUCCAGAGGACAAGUGGUUCUCUUUAUUCUCGUACAGGUGUAUCAUAUUUACAAUUUAGUUUUACAUGAUCGUCGACUUUACACUGUGCAGCGCACAAAGGAUAAGAUACUGUGUAUUUUGGGGCUGGAAUCUAAAUAUGUAGAGAUCUGCCUACAAAAAGAAAAACAAUUCUGCCAUUUAUUGGCAGUACAACAUCCUAAAUUGGAGGGGCGGGAUUCAGAUGCUGUGGUCUGAAGGUGCUUCUUGCAAAGUGCCAAAGUUUAUUCCUUAAGAGGUCCCUUCUGGUUUACUGUUCCUGUCAACCAAUAUCAAAGAGCCAUGUCCACGUUAGAAUCUCAGAUGGUUUAUGGAUUUCCACUUACUUUUUCAGCAAAAGUGACCCCAGGCUAUAAGCCUAUAAAGCAUAUACAAAAUGUGGGCUAUCUUGUCAGGAUCUCAUUUAAGAUAUAACUUUUGCAAGUGACCACACUAGGACUUGUCAGGAUCUCAUUUAAGAUAUAACUUUUGCAAGUGACCACACUAGGAUGUGAAAUAUUGGCAUAUAUCUGAAAAGAGUGCAAUACUCUGAAUAACCAAGGUUUUCUAGAAAGCACCCUGAAAGCAAUCCAGCUACUUAUCUUGUCUAGAUUUCAUGUCAGAACAAUGUGUUGUAAAGUUGCAGGAAGAAAUCAGAAAAGAAUGCAAUGUCUGAACUACAAAAUAUGUUUGCUAUCUAGUAUUUGUAUUUCUAGUCUGAAUUUCCUAGAAACCAGCAUGAAAUCAUUCCAUUCAAAGUUUCAGCAGCUCUCAACCACAGGUGUAAUUUAACAUUUGAUAUCAAACUGGUUGCCACCACAGCUAUUUGUCAACUACCAGCAACAAACUCUGCACCAUUUUUUUGGCAAAACAAUGAUAUGUUGUUCAUAAGUUCGAAGCAGUUCUUAGUCCCUGAGAUAAAGGAAUGUUAUUAGGGAAUAGCCACAUAUUGCCAUGAAUGAAAGGUAGGCUGGUAAUUUCAGAUGUUGGCACUAUGGAUGAAAGAAAAACAUGAAGACUCUAGGGAGACCAAAAAAAAUCUAGAUCAAAUAAUACAUCAUAAUAGUUUGAAUUUCCUCUAUUCAACAACUUGACCCCGUACAGGUAACGUCUGGAUUGAAAACAAUGCUUAUUGAUGUAUGAUUUGCAAUUAGUAGUGAAUUGAAUGAUGAAAAGCAGAAAGUAUCAUAUGCACUUCUAAAUUUUAAUCAUAACUCAGAUUUGUUAUGCUAUGAAAAAUAUUACUUUAAUAGGGUAGCAGAUGAGUAUUUAUAUAACUGAGCAGGGGUAGCAUUACAAUAAUUUGACACCGAAAAUGUGGCCGACUCAGGAACCUGCAAAAUGGGAACACUACUGCAGGACAUCGGCCCAGCUUUGUUAACUCAUCUGCUACCCUAUUAAAUCUCACUUCUCAAGCCAGAACCUGGCAAAACUGAGGCCAGCUACUUGAUACUAUAUGACAUUGACAUUAUUUUCUUCUAUAAUCUAUCCAAUGCUAUCCAGAUAUUCCCAAAAAGUUUGAUCGAAAAUUUAGAACGUCCAAAACAAUAUAGCCACUGUAACCCCGUUAAAUUAAUUAUGCUUUUUAAGAGUGCCUACAAUUCUAUCACGGAUUGCUGCUCCACACCCUCAAAUGCAGCUGUGAAAAUAACAGCCAGUGCGACAUCUUAACAUAUUUUAUCAUUCCAUAGCCAUUUUCUUAGAUAGAAACCUGCUUCCUAUUCCCAGGAAAUGAGAUACACAAUUUAGUGAACUGUCUAGGUUUCUUUGAAUUGGGACACAACACUUUUACUUCAGCAUCAACAUUUGACUUGCAUGGACACAAGGACCACAAUGCGCAGACAGGGCCGUCGACGGGCAUGAGCAAAGUGCUCGACCGCUCAGGGCCCUCAAAAAAAUGGGCCCCCAAAAUCGAGUAGUUAAUUAGGAUAUUAAUAGAGGGAAAAAAGAAACAAUCGAUAAUCGCGGUCAUGCACGUCUCCCGCGGAGGAAAAAUAGGAAACCGCCCUGCCGCUUCGCUCGCUGUGUGACUUCGAUCCGGCAGCGCUUCGUCUAAUGGUCUGCUUGCUGGCUUUGGAUUGCUGAUGUGCGCUUGUUGGUCAUCUCUGUGCUUCUCUCGCCUGCGUGGUUGGGACACUGCGCUUGCAUUCCGCAUUGACGGCCCGUCGCGUCCAUCUGUGUCCUCCAUCCAGAUCCGGCGAGUUGGCAACACUGUGCGCUGCGCAGGCAAUCUCUGGUCUCCACAAUCCAAUUAAUCAUUUUGCACAAGGCGAUCAAAUUCCCGAACAUAAUAAGGUCAAUAUUGUUCUCUACUUCUCUAUUGAUUCGUUACGUCAAUACAAUCGAUUUCAAUUUCCAGGCCUGAUCAAUUGAUCGAUUUUGUAAAUUGUAAUUACCAUUGAUCAGUUUAGUUAUCCGGAGUUGUCUAAGUUUUAGAACAAAUGUUUCAAGAUCGCUCCCGGGCCCCGAAUUCAUGGAGACGGCUCUGUGCACAGAUAACACCACCUUCAGAGUUUAGAUACCUUUAGCAGAUGCCCUAGCCUAAGUAGCACACAAAUUUCAGGUGAACAGAGAGCUAAUGCUUCACAUCCUCAAAAGUCAGGUUGACCUAUUGGAUCAAACCAAUUCAACCUUUAUAUACUACCGCACCCAGCUCAAACUGCAAGACUGUAGUGCAAUCCCAAAGAACGACACAGCUAAUGCAGCAAACCUCAAGGCAAGUGGGCAAUAUAUAGCCUAAGUGACAGCAGAACUGUAAUACCCCCUCCAUUCCUAAAUAUAAGAUGUUCUAGCAUUGUCCUAAGUCAAACUUCUUAAAAUUCGACCAAGUUUAUAGAAAAAUCUACCAUAAGUUUUAUUAAAUCCGUCAUGAUAUAUAUCUUCAUAGUACACUUAUUUGAUUUUGUAGAUGUUAGUACAUUUUUCUAAUAAGAACGGAAGUAGUAACAAGCAUAUAUACUCAUGAACAAUUGCUGGCAUCAACACACGGCUAACCAUGAGUACACCGAUCUAAUCUACAAUGUGCAUCGCAACUAUCUCAGCCUUGCCAAUACUGACAUACUCAAUCUUGGGUCGAAUUGAGCGGAAGUGAAUUGAACUCGAUAGCUUGGGGGCUAGAGCCUUCACCUCUGGGCUUGCGACUCGUAGAACCUGGCGAUGCGGCCGCGGUUGAGGGGCUUGGGCUUGACGGGCUUCUUCCGGCGCAGUCCGGUAAUCUCCUGCACAAGUGGGACAUGCACCAGCACCGUCCUCCACGCCACGUACCAGCCUGGGGCUCAACAAAUAACCAAAGACGAGAAAUUUCAAUCAGGAACCCACCCAGCCAGAGCGCAUACGGACGAGACGAGGAGAUGGAAAGAGCCUCCGUACUGAGUACGAUGAAGGAGAUGACGAAGGCAACGGCAAGAAAGGGGCGGAGGAUAAACAGCACGGUGAGCUCCCACGCCGCCGCCAGGUUGCCACCGGCCAUAGCGCCGCCGGCCUUUCGGUCGGGGAGAGGAAAGGGAUCAAGCAAAAGGAAUCUCGUGCUGGGAGAGGAAGGGGUCAGCAAAUGAGUCCAUGACGUGUGGGUCCCCACACAGAGGAGAGCAAGCAAGCCCGGUUCGAACAAGGAAACGUACCAGGCAAAACAGUUGGUUGCUAGGGGGUGUAACCGUGCGAACUGUAAUAGGACAGGAUUCCGACUGAGUACUGAUAAAAUCAUGUUUGCUCAUAUCCCCUUGUAAGUGUAUGGCUCCAAAUUCGAUUCGACUAUUGUUCCAAUCAGAUUAAGAUGUUUACGCAAUCCCCACAUCAGAAGGAGCCAUAGCCAAAGCCAAUGGCAAUAACCUUGUACGCUCACAUCACAUAGAACAUGAAUACAUGAUAGGCCAUGUGACUUGUUACAUGACCUAUCAGAGAUGAAUCCAAUUAAAUUUCUGGUUGCAAUUUGGCUCGCGAUACUCUGUGCACCUCCAUUUUAUGGAAGAUGCGCCAGGACAAUCAUACAACAGAAUCACAAUACCGCCACCAGCACGCACACAGGAAAACAAGAUUGGAACCGAUGACUCCUGGUGAAUGGGAUGUUGAUGUGGUCAAGAUUCAAGAUACCUUCUAAUGAGUUCCUGCUGUAAGAAGAUUUUUGCCAUCAGGCUCCGAGAAUCGUGUUGGAUGGUUGGAAACAUUUCUCAGCACUUCAGCUCAACAAAAGAAAUUGCAUCUGUUGAUGAAGCAAUCAUGCCACGCAUUCUGAAUCACUCCUAAUCCAACAUUCUUUGGCAUUCCUGCAAAAACUGAUAUAUAACCUGUGAACAGAUUAACAGUGUGAUCCCCGAAAAGAACCGCAAAAGAAGGCAAACCUUGGUACUCAUGAUGUCUUAUGUCCGCAUUUCAACAGUCUUUCCCCCACGCUUCCUCUUGGCAGGUUUUGUGGCAUCACUGGGAACUUCUGCAGCCAGGAGUUUUUGUGUAGGCAGCUGACCGAUGAAAAGAACGUUCUGUGCCCAACCGGCAUAACUCCCAAAUUUAGCGACAAAUGCAUCAGCAACAACAAUACUGAGUUUUGGUGUCAAGCUCUUGCCAGCUAGCUCAGGCAACAGGUAUUGUGUAGCAACCUGUGUUAAACUCACAUGGUUAGGUUUGAAGACUGAAACAGAAUAGGCUUUAGAAUCAUAUACUCCCUCCGUCCCAUAUUAUGACUUUCUAUUACAUGUAUCUAGACGUUUUUAUGAAUAGAUACAUCCAUAUUUGGACAAAUUUGAGUCAUUUAAUAUGGGACGGAGGGAGUAGAACAUAUGCAUAGAUUCCUUUUCCUUAGUCUGCCUCCUCAAGGUUGAAAUAUAUUUUCCAAUGCCACGCGGAUUAUUUUCAUUUCAAAAUAGGACAUUUAUUGUCCAUAAAUUUCAGUAGUGAUUGGUUUAUUUGCCCGUUUCAAAGGAUGAAAUUUUAUUUCAAAAUAGCAUCCAUGGAUCCAUCACCCAUGCAAUUUAAUCAUAAUCAACUUGGAAGUGUGUAAGAUGUUACCAUGGUCCAAAUGGCUGAAAUGAAAUUAUGUAGCUAACACCUUAAAUGGGUCUAACAAAAUAGAAAAGGACUACUGUAACUAAUUCCAACUCUGCCCAUCAAAACCACCUAAUUUUCUUACAAUGGGCAAAGAGUAAAGUGGUAGAAAGGCAAAGCAGAUUGAGCUGUUAUUACAGCAUGAAUACAACAAAUGUUUGAUCGAUAUAGUAUACCUUCCAGACAUGUGUAUCAACAGGAAUAGCCUGAUUCUUAUCCAGGGAGAACAGAGCAAUACAGGCUGCAACUUUUGGGCCAACGCCUGGCAGGGUGCAAAGACCCUCAAUCACCUCUGGAAGUUCCCUGUCACGUAACAAGGCAAGCCAUUUCUCACCACCGCCAGGCUUGGCCAUCAAUUCUGUAGCAGUGCCAACGAUGUACUUUGCCCUGCGCAUAUAUUAGCACACAGCAUUUGCUCAAAUCAGCAAAGUAUGAACUAUCUAGACACAACAGAUACUCAAUAUGAUGUUGACCAUCAAUUGAAAAUCGAUAUCUUUAUGCCUGCUAUAAAGUUUGUUUCCCCAACGUUGAAAUUUUAGUGCACAAAUAGUUAAAUGUGAAACAGAGAUUCUAUACAUACAUAUAUGUAAACAAACAGUACAACAUAGGAAUACCAAUACCAUUAUUGCCAACAUAAAUGCUCAUCGCUUGAUUUUGAUCCUCAAAGGAAAUACUGUAGAUCAAAGACAACAUAACAAUGCAACUGAACUAACAGCAGGUAGAUGGAAAUUCGCGAUCCACACGGACCACGUGACCACCUCACAGGCUCACAAGCUAGGAGUUUGAUCAUCUCAAGCAAAUGAGGCUACAAUAAAACCAGACUAGCUUGCUGAAUUCAACACAAAGAAGUACCAAUGCGUAGAGCGUAGUAUAAAUUGCAACUAGAAGCAGACAGAGAACACCAGCUGACCUGUAGCCAAAGCCGGCGUCCCGAAGCUCCUGCUCCGACACCUGCGCGAGCUGCUCGAUGGUGGGAAACCGGUGGAACACGAACCCGCCGACCUCGCCGAGCCGCUCCCCAUAGCCGGCCAGCGUCCACACCAUCUUCUCGAUCCGCGCGAUGUUGUUGUUGGAGGAGCAGAGGAACUGGAACAAGCACUCGACCGGGUCUUGCCUGAGCACCCGAGCGCCACCGCCUCCGAGCCGCGCCGCGACCUCGGCGAAGCGCGCGUCGGCGGCGGUGAACUGGCGCCAGAGGUCGGCGAGCGGGACGGUGGCAUUCAGGUAGUCGCAGAUCGCGGCGCGGGCGGUGGCCACGGAGCAAGAGGAGGUGUCGGCAUCGUCGUUGUGGAGGAGGAAGGCGAGGCCGCCGUCCGGGAGGUGGGAGAGGGAGAGGAGGUGCGAGCCCACGGCGCCGGUGAAGCGGAGCGGGGAGAGGGAGGUGCGGCGCCAGAGGAAGGUCUGUCCGGUGGGGAGAGUGAGAGGGAGGAAGAGGUCGCCGGCGGAAAGAGGGAGGGGGUGCCACUCUUCUGGUUGUGCGUCGCCGUCGAGGGGAAGGCGGCGGCGGGCGGGCGGAGGGUGCUGCUGAGGGGUUUCGAGUUUGGGGGUUUCUGAGAAUGGGGUGGGCGGUGGGGUGGAGGAGAGGACGGGAGGGAUGGGUGGCAGGGCCGGCCCGGCGAGGCGGCGGCGGCGGCGAGGGGGCAUGGCGGGGACGGCGGCGAUGCGAGGGGAGAGAGGGAGACGCAUGGUAGACGUUCG